RNAcentral lists this long non-coding RNA (50548 nucleotides) under Coffea arabica (coffee). Its description in RNAcentral is "long non-coding RNA (CARA_LNC002121)". Lineage: Eukaryota; Viridiplantae; Streptophyta; Magnoliopsida; Gentianales; Rubiaceae. The record is from RNAcentral.
UCCUUUUUUUUUUUUUUUUUUUUUUUUUGGUUCCUUUGGGGUUGUAUUGAUAUAUGUAUACGAAGAAUGUUCAUCUGCAUUUCCUUCUUGUUUCAUUGUGGAUUUCAAAUUCAGUAUUGUUGAAUACCUAUUUAACUUCAUCGAGACUUUUGGUUAGAUGUUAACCUUUUUGUGUUAGGUGAAGUAGUUAAGGAUGUGGUACUUCAAUUCAUCUGUCAAAUCAUUCUGCAGUGGCUGCUUCAUUAGGUACUGCCUGGAGGUUGGUCCAAAUGGCAAAUAUGCAAUUAAAUUCUGGAGGUUAGCUGCUUUUGAAAUUUGACAGAAUGCCCUGUUAUAAUAGUGAGCAGAUAUGGUUAAUUAGCACCAAGCCACCAAAUAAUUUUUACCAGUUAUUGCUACACGGAUUGCAGCCAUCUAUUCUAUUAAAGCGCCGUUACCUUCCCCAAAGAGGGUUAUGUGAAAAUUAAAGAACUUUUAUUGGAAAAGAAGAGAGGAAAAUAAAGAACAAAAUUUGCCUUUUUGAUGCUCGUUUGGAUGCAUUUUUUGAGUACUUUUGUAGAAAAACAAUGCUGUAUUACCUUUUUGAAUUAAUCUUCUAUACAUUGGCACAGUGUAUACACUUUUACUAUUGGAUGAAUAACACAUAAUCUGAAAUUGAAUUUGAAACCAAAAUUUUACAUAUGUGUCGUGCAUUCAAUCGUGAUAGUGUAUAUAUUAUCAGUGCAUAUUAGAUUUAUUCUUACUUUUUUAAGCAGUAAUGUAUGUGAGAUAAAAAAAAAUAGCUGAAAAUUCAGUGAUAUUCGCAGAAAAACUCAAAAAUUUGUUCUCACGAAACUAGCAAUCCAAACAAUUACAAGCCUUUGUUUUCCUUUUCUUUUUUCCUAAGUUCAUUCCUUGAUAACCAAUUUGAUGAGAUUUUUUUUUUAUGCAUCGUGAUUUAAGAUAACCCACAAAUUAAUUUACAGCAAGCCCUGUAAAUACAAGAACAAAUGAUUGACACUUGAUCCUCAAAAUAUAACAUGGAUUCUACUUUGUUUGGAUUGCAUUUUUCUAUAUUUUUUUUUAUAAAAAAAUUAUUAUAAUAAUUUAAUAUAUAUAUAUAAUAAUAAAUAAUUAAAAAAUAUGUUCACGAAGAGUUCCCAAAAUAUAACGUCGAAGAAGUACCAAGCUUCAGUAAUUUGUAUUCAAACGCAACAGAACACAAUCUUGGACGUUAAAUUCCCCAUUGAGCCUUGAGCAGAUGAAUUUUCACAGGGAGCCAAAAAAGCAACAGUAAUGAAACUAUAGUAGUGCAGGGAAAUGUUGGAUAAUGAUGGAACACCGUCCACGUAAAUAUGCACCAAUAUAAGAGGCUACAAGCAAUGCGCGGCGUGGAGACAGAAUGAUAGCAAGUAUCUCUUCACAUAUUUCGUCUGUCAAAUGCAUGAUGAUGAUGAUGGAUAGAUCCUCCAUUGCAAUUCACAGGACCCUGCUAAAAGCCUGACCAAAACAACCAUCACUUUGUCUGAUUGCGCAUUCUUAUAGUAUUUUAAACAUCUGCCUAAUAUGGGAUCAGGGCCUCAGCCAUCAAGAAAAAGUGAAGAAAGUUUUGCCUGCAAUUGUACUCAAUUUCUGACAAAGUGAAGUCUGUUUUGGUUUUCAGAUGAUGGAUUGUUUUGGAAGAAAUGAGUGAUCUUGAAGUUUUACCAGUAUGAUUCUUUUUUUUUAAUUUGACAAAAUUGUAAGUUUAUAUCCUUUUUUUUUUUUUUUAACUGAAUACAAUAGAUCUAUAUUUAUUUCAUGCCAUGCGUAGGGGAGAUCUGAAAAGACUCAAGAAAAAAUCGGUGAGAACUGAACCAUCACCAGUCAAAACGGAUGCAACCACUUAAAGUGACAAGUCACGUAUAAUGGCAAAUCGUAGCAAUUGCCUAGAUGAUGAAGUUCUGUGGGUCUCCCUUAGCUUGAGUGAGACUCUUUUUGUUGUGCCCUGAGUAUAGUUUAGUUUUUCCCUAUUAAAUGCCUAUUGUCGAAAAAAAACAUAUAAUGACAAAUAGUGGAAGGCAAGGUUUGAACCACAUAUAAUGACAAAAUUGUAAAUUUAGUCGUGAGAUAACUAAUGUGGUGUGCAAACACGAAAUAUUGAGGAUUUUAGGGACAAAGUUUAAAUUGUGUGAAUACUUUGGGGCAAAAAAAAUGAAGAUAACAUUUGGUUCAAUAUUUAUAAGGGGUAUGAUUCUAAAUAACUUGUGAACCUUGUGUAGAAUAUUUGAAUUCAUUCUUCAGACCUAUUAUUAUGGAAGAAAGCAGAAUAUACAGUGGUGAAAAAAAAAAGUCUACUUUUGCUUUAUUAUGAGCAAAAUUUAAGACUUCAAAAUUGCAAAUGUAAUGCUCAACGAGAUAUAAUAAAAAUAAAAAGUUAAAGAAAGUAAUAAAAUGCCCGUUCUAUCAAGAAGUCGAGGGGGAAAAAAUCAUGAUCAUCAUAGUUUUGCUUCAACUUAUGCUCUUCUUCGUAUUAUUUGAAUAGAUAGCCUUUCUCAUUAGUCUUAGUUAAUUUUUCACUUAAAUAUAAAAAAAAAGUUUACUUUUAUUAAGUAUGUUAUAAUAUAGUAUUCGAUUUAGUACUAUUGCUUUCAAGGCUAAUAUAAAAUUCCAAAUCCACAUAGUACUCAAUUACGCCUGAAUAAAUUGAGGGUAAUUUUCACAUAAAUCUAGGGGUUAUUGCAAGAUUUAUCUUAAAUAAAUUAAUUAAACAUUCUCAAUUAGCUCAAACAAAUAAAUACUUCUACUUGAAUAGAGUUUAAAAAUGAACUAAGUAAGUUAAUAUUCGAAUCAAAUUUGACUUGACAAGAGUCUGUUUAAGUUUAGUUUAUUAAAUAAUUCAGCCAAACUUGAGAAGUGCUUUAUGUUCGAAAACAUUUAAAUUCGAUAAAAAUCCCAUUCAAACUUUAUUCAACAAAUAAAUAAAUAAAAUUUUAAACUAAUUAAAAUAAUCAAAUAAAUUUAGACACUACAAUAUUUGAUUUGGUUAAGACUUGUCUACACCCUUAUACAUGAAAUUAUACAUAAAUCUCCUAUUCUCAAAUCCUUCAAAAAAAAAAAAGAAAAAAAAAAAGGAAAAACAGUGGCAAGCUGUAUCGAACUACAAACAUACCACUAAUUCAUACUAUAGGUAGGUCCCACAAAAAGCCCCCGGUGAGCCGCGUACUCUGUCGGUCCACGUGGCAAAAGAAACAUGCGGUGUGUCACGUGACUUUGCGCCCCACAUUGUCGGCUUGUCGCUCUGAUGCGACAACCUUUUGCCUUUUAGAUCCCACUGUUAGUGUUAUGCUCCUACCCUUUUAUAUCGCCAAUAUCUCGUGUUUCGUGCUUCUUCUCGUCCGAGAUCUUGACAUUUUCUCCAUUUUUUUUCCCUACAAUUCCUUAUGAUGAAAUUAUGACUAGUAAGUAAUAAACAGAUGUUAAUAAAAUACUGGGCUUAAUCGAUAAACAAAAUCUUGACACAGACAUAAAGUAAAUGGAGCCUUCUAAUCUUCAGUUGCUAUAUAAAAAAAAAAAAAAAAACAUGUAAUGUGGUCUUUGAUCAUAUGAAGACCAAUUUGACAACUAGUAUACCAAAAGCAUUUGAGAUAGUAAACUACUAAUUCAACAUGGAAGAAAGCAAUCAGCCCUCUAUAUAAAUGAUAAAAAGCCAUGCCCUAAAACUCUAGGGACAACAAUAAUGGAAAGUAUAAAUGGUACUAUUCAAAAGUAAUUAAUUAAUUUGGAAACAUAUUAUUGUACUUGGAAUCUCAAAAAAUGCAAACCAAGAUUAAUUACCUAUGCCCUUCUUACAAAACAAAACAGAAGAUUAAUCUAACGCAUGCCCGGUAGAGAGCGAUUAGAAGAAGGUUCAAGUGCUAAUAUUUUCAAAAUUAAUUUUAAAUAGAGAAAAUAUUUAGAAUGUAAAUGAUGAUGUAUAUAAUUUGUAUCUAUAUAAAUAUAAACGUAAAGAGGAGGUCUUGGUCUAAUAGUUAAAAUCGAAAUCUCAAAAUUUAGAAGCUGCUUGGUUUAAAUCCUAUCCUCUUCUCAAAAAUUUUUAUUUAAAAAAAAAAUAGUCAAUGUGUUAUUCAUCAUGCCUAUAAAAAGAUGCGCGUCUGUUGAUAUAUUUCAGGUGUCAUAUUUUAGCUUCGUUAACGCCUUUCCACUGAUAAGGAAAACCCUUAAAUAUUUUACAAAAUAUAAUGCUGCGGCCCCAAUUGGAUGCUUAAGAAUCUAAGCUGGGAAUUGCUAAAUCUUUUUGUUGGUAGAUAAAUUCUUUUUCGGUUGUGGAUUGCCGUACUUUAGUGGUAGCCCCAUCUUCUUCUUCUCUUAAAUAAACGUUCGUAGUUAGUUUUCUCUUCGGCUUUUGCACAGGCCCACAGGCCACCGAUUGGCAGCUGUUUCAGGUCUCUACUUUCCAGAACAGGGUUUUGUGCUGAUUGUCUUCACAAUAGUAGACAGCAGAAAGAAAGAAAGAAAGAAAGCUAGAGAGCAUGGAGAAGCAAAAAUGACAACAUAUUUAUGCUUUUUUUUCUUGUAAAAAGACUCAACCUUUAGACUUUGGCCAUUGCUUCUUCUUUUUUUUUAUGCUAAAGUUUAGAGACACCUAAGCUUAAUUAAGAUUGUCAAAAUCUUUGGUACUGUUGGGAUGAUGACAACAACAGUUACGAUAUCAAGGCAAAGUCUGCAAGAUUUCUCUUUGUUAAUCUUGGUUUAAGGAUUUGCCAUUUGUCCCUUUCCAUUUUUGUGUUCUUUUGUCGGCCAUUUAAGAGUUAUUAAUGUUGUUAGCAAGCAGGUUAAUUGCACUCAUCUUAUGGAUGGACCUAACAAUUCCUAGGUUAAAUGCAUUGCACGUUUGCAUUAUCAAGAUGCUUGUUGUCUCGAGGAAGAAAAAAUCACUUGAUUAUUAGAAGGAUUAUUAAACAUAAAAUAUAGUACAAUUCUUAUUCUAUCCUUUUGAUUCGAGGAUGAAUCGAUCAUCAGAAGAAGAAUUAGGCCAAAAAUUAGGACGCAUCAUCGGAAAAUCAAACUUCCAUUGGCCGUAAAAAAAGAUUCAAUUCAUUUCUUAACACUAACAAACAUUUCCCUCUUUUAUUUUGGUAUAAUCAAUGAGAGUGUCGUUUCGUUUUUCCUUUUCCUCUUCUUUUUUUUUUUUGAGGGGGGGGGGGUUUGAAUGAAUUUCUUGUUUGCUUCUAUAUACUUUCUUAAGUGCAUGACAGUUAAACAAAGUUUACAAAGUAAAAGAAUGAAGUGCUUUACAUGACAAAUGAUACUGUCGGAAAAAUAUGUUAGUAACACCAUAGAUGACUUAAUUUUUUUUUGUUAUAUUAAUGAGCACGUUUAUGAAGACUUAGGAUUCUUAAUGAGCAGAGCACCCUCCUGAAUCUUGAUUAUCUUGUCUGCUCCAACUGUAUACUUUUUUUGGUCAUGCUUUACUUUUGAUGAAUUUAGACUAUGAUCCCAUCUUUGGUAAAAACAGAUGCAAAAGAAAGAAAGUUGCUUACGCCCUAAAGAAAGGACAACACAGAAAAGGAAAAUACAGUAUUGACUUAAUAAAGAGUACUUAAUAAAGUGUUUAGAACAAUAAUACUCCCUCCGUCCCACUUUGAUAUUCUUAUUUUCAUUUUUUAUUUGUCCCAAAUUAUAGUCCGCUUUCCAAUUGAAAAAUAUAGUUGUAUUUUAAUUUUUCUAAAAUACCUUUAUUUUAUUCAUUAUAAGUUGUUGUUACUCUAAACCUAACUCAUCUAAUGAGAAUUGAUUCUUUUUUUACCAUCAAUUCAAGUUCCCAUAAAGUUGUACUCUAAUUAAUGUGAGGGUAUUUUAGGAAAAUAGCUACCUAAAUUGAUCGUUCCAACAAAGUUAACCAAGUUUUCUUAAACUAUGUGAAAACAAAACCAGAACUAUCAAAGUGGGACGGAGAAAGUAUUAUCUAUUGCAUUUGACUAGUAGUUCUAAAGAGUUUACAAAUUUAAAUGAAUAUAAAACCAUCCCAAAUUUGUUUUUCCAAAAUAGUUUCUCGGAUUGAGACAAUUGAGAACCUAAUAGUUCAUACACAUAAUUUACAUGUGCCAAAUUUAUUAUUAUUAUUUUUUAAUAAUUUAAGCUUCUACAAAUCAGUUGAAUCCAUGAUCCCAAAGUGUUACUUACUAAUCAAGUUGGAAAGAAACAUAAUUAGUUUGCUAAUUAUAGCAAUCAAGUCUAUAUGACCUGUAUAUCAAUUUCAACAAGUAAAAUUUCUCUCCCAAUCUUUAAGUAAUUGCGAAAUCAACAUUAACCUACAGCCUUGGAAAUUAUAACAAUCUUGGUAUGCUGAGUCUAUUAUACUUGGGAAGCAGUUGUAUAUGUACCCUUGGAGUCUUGGACAAAUUGCUGCAUGACAGCUUCAUUCAUGCAUGCAGGUUUGUUUUUUUUUUUUUUGUUGAGGAAAUUCAUGUAUUGGAUUUGGAAUAGCUAAGCAAUUGUUAAUGACAUGGUCUUAUAAUUAUAUUUCCACUAUUUUUUUUUUGUUAUCAUAAACAUGUUUCAUUUAAUCAUUUUUUAACUUUACCAAUCAUCUCUUUAUUCACAUAUACAUUAUAUGACAGACAGUACUAUACAAUUAUUUCAAAAGAUUUUCUAGAUAAUAUUCUAUCCAAACACGAUACUACUGUUAUUGAAAUACACAGUGUCAUUAAUAUAUGCUUAAUUAAAUAAAAAAGAGUUUUGGUCUUCACUUAAUUCACUUCUUUCUUGUUUUGCUUUUUCUUUUCUUUUCCUCUACUCUUUUUGUGGCUGAAACCAAAAAUGUUGACUAAACAUCAUUUUCAUGGUAGCUAAUUUCAAAAACAUGUUCGCAAACUUGCUGACUAACUGAAAAUGGCGAUAAAAUGCAAAGAAUUGAAAAAAGAGGCCUGAGAAAUUGAGCAAAGGAAAAACAAAAGCAAUCAAAAGUUGAAAACUUGAGAAGAAAGAGUGUUCCUUUUAGAGUGCUAGGCGCACUAGCAGACAUAUGGGUCCCAUACACAUCACUCUCUCCACCAUCAGCACCCCCUCAAGGCCUCAACCUACUUCUCCUUCACCCCCUCUUCCUCCUUUUUUUGGCACCCAAAACCAUUGCACAUUCUUCCCUCUACUCUCUUCUGUCAACCCUUUUGGUUUUACUCUCUUGUUCACACCAUGGAACAAACUCUAGGCUUACUAGGUGGUGGUUGUGGUGGUGGUGGAAGUGGUGGUGGACCUGGUGGCAGUAGUGGUGGAAGUGGUGGUAGUGGUUUGUCAAAUGAAACUGCAUCAUCAGCUGUGUCCAAAGUGGAGAAAGAUUAUAUGGGCUUGUCUUCAGAGGGUUCAUCUUAUGAAAAUGAAGAGGAAAUUGAGUUGGGGUUAGGCCUGAGUCUCAGUAGUGGUGGCGGUACUGGUGGGGUGGGAAAGAAUAAAGGGUCAUUGUGGGGUGACUAUGGGAGGAUAUUGACUGCCAAAGACCUGCCUAAUGGCUUUUCUGGAAGAGCCGGUGGUGUUUCUGGUACAAAAAGAGCCGCUGAUUGUGUUAGUCCUGCUGAGAAUGUGCCUGCCUCCACUGGAGUCAGGUUAGAAUUAUGUUCAUUUUUUUUCGCAUGCAAAAGAGUUUCUUUUACAUUUGAAAGCUUUGCUUUCAGUUUGGUGCUCUUGAAUUGCAGUAUUUUGAGUGUUAAUAGACAUGACCUUUAGAUGUUCUAUUUUUUUUCAUCUUUUUCUGGAUUCUUCUUUUUUCGUUGUUUCAUGAGUUCGUUGAUUUUUCAUGUGUUUGUUAUUUCUUGUUUGCAUUUUAGUUCCUUGAGUGUUAGGUGUGUGUGAUCUUGCGAACUACGGUCUGAUUAGCCGUUACUCUGUGUGUGUGUGUGGUUUUUUUUGGGGGGGGGGGUUAGUUUUCCUUGAUCAACAAUGAUUCCUCCAUUUGGUUAUCUAAUGGUAUAAUCCAUUCCUGUAAGGAUCAUUUCGUUGACAGUGGAACUCAUCUGUGUUACUGAAUCCCUUAUUUUCUUACCUUUUUCCCUCUUGUGAAAGAACUUUUAAUAUCUGAAUUUGGAAGAUGUUGGGGCUUCAGGUAGCAUUGUACUUAUAUGCCAUGCUUCUCUUGCAAGAUUUAGCUAGAUUAAACAGCAUAAAUGACAGCAUUUAAGAUUUAUAGGUAAGCAUUUUUUUUUUGUUUUGUUUUUUGGUCCUCCCUUUGAUGGAAAAGUUUAUAGCUUGCGGUUGUUUUGCUUUCUUGAAGCAGUCAGGUAGUUGGAUGGCCUCCUAUUAGAGCAUUCAGAAUGAAUAGCUUGGUUAACCAAUCAAAGAAUCCAAAUGUUGAAGAAGAUAAGGGAGUUGGCGGGAACGAAAAGAAGGAAAAUUUGAAGAAGAAAACCAACUAUGGAAAUCACAAGACUGAUGAUACCCCAAAGGACAAAGGUCAUCUUGGUUAUAUAAAGGUGAAUAUGGAUGGAGUUCCCAUUGGAAGGAAAGUGGAUCUGAACGCUCACAAUUGCUAUGAAUCCUUGGCCGAAGCAUUAGAGGAGAUGUUCUUUAAUACCAUUGCAAUUAGUAAGAUCCUUCUUUUUCCCUUUUGACUUUAAAUAGCCUUUUGCUCUCCAAGGGAAGAAAUUAUGUUUUACCAUUUUUUGGGUUAUUUAUUCCCUUGCAGCUACAAGAUCUAAUUGUUUCACCUUCAAUGGCGAUAGAUAACUACUAGCAAGCACAAACACUUGCCAUCUGCUAUGCAUGUAUCUUUUGUUAACAGAUGUUACUCACCAUUCUUGUAGUGUUCUUGCUUCCGUGUUACUUAGAUGUGUUUGUAUCAUUCGGAUCAGGUGGUGAAAAGGAAUCAUCCAGACAGCCCCCAAAGCUUUUGGAUGAAUCAUCCGAAUUUGUGCUCACAUAUGAGGAUAAAGAAGGAGAUUGGAUGCUUGUGGGAGACGUACCAUGGGGGUAUGCAACUAAUUAGAUUGCCUUCUUCUAAGUAUGGAAUAAAUAAUUUGUAGAAAGAUCGGUGCACUAGUAAACAUAUUUAUGUCAAAAUGCAGCAUACGCGGUUCUUUUGUCUAUUUGGCCAAAUACCCGACUGAGUGAUGUUUCAGAGGUUCAGUUACAAGAAAUAGGGUUAACAUAAGAAGUUAACUAAGUAUACAGUAGCUGGAAUGUUUAUAUAAAGCCAAGCUUUCUAGUAACUGAGCAACUUGUGCAUCUUAGGCUGAGAUACUGGAGAAAAGUUUCCAGACUUUCUUCUUACCAGAAAGACUAAAGCAUACAAUCACAAUAACUAUCUAAAAAUUCAAUUAAAAAAAGCAUAAAAAAAUCAACAAAAGCAUAAUCAUUUUGUGUGAUGUGAAUUUCCAAGUGAUAAUUGCUGCAACACUAACACAUGACUUUUAUGUGCUUUGCAUUAGGAUGUUUCUAUGCACUGUCAAAAGGCUCAGGAUAAUGAGGAACUCAGAGGCUAAUGGAAUUGGUACGUGCAUUUUGUAGGCUAAUUUUCAUCCACCUUCCAAUACUAUCAGCAAUUUUGUAUUGUGAUUAUGAUAUUUCCUUACAAAAACCUUCUCAAAAUUCCCAGCUCCAACAAUCCAACAAAGGCAUGAAAGACUGAAGGGUAAGCCAAUUUAGAUGAGUGCUGGUUCUUCUCCAACUACAAAACGGCUGAAAAAAUGAGGCCACAGCUUGAAAAGGAGACCAAGGAAAACAUACAGAACUCUUAAAGAGUUACAACAGCUCGCUGAGAUGUCUAAUUGUUGCUGCUUUUGGUUGCAUUUUUUGUUUUAAUGUGUUCAGAGUCUAGUAUGUCCUAUUCAAAUCAGUUUUUGCAUAUCUUUUUUAGUCAUACACAAAUACUUUUUCAAAGGCCCUCUCAUAAUGUAAAUAUGUGUUGCUUUAUAUCCAGCUUCAUGUGUUUGCUGAGAACAAUUUGAUUUUUUUCAUUAUUUCUUUCUAAAUGUCUUUGGAUUGUAUGAAAGAAGUUGUGUUUUCUUGUGCGUUAGAUGAUUACAACAUCAGCUGCAAGUCCUAUUGAUCUCCAGUACUACUGUAAAAUUCGGAGUUAGGGCCCCAAAAGAAUUUCAACCCUAAUUGUGGAGAAUUUUGAGAGCACCAGUUUACAUCCCUGGAUUAAUGUGUAACACAAAUGGUGUUUAGCUUUAUGUUAACAUCAGAAGAAUCCAUCGAUGACAUUUGAUGCUUGUCAACCUUUUGAACUUGAUGUGCUUGUAGCAUACUUUCUGACUUCUGAAAUGUGGUCCAAGCUUAUAUGAUUCUUGCUGAAAGAAUGAAAGUGCUUGGAAGAUACAAGCCUACACUCCAAAUAAUGCAGUUUGGCUUUCACUUGAAAUGUGUUCACUCUUGCUGUUCACAGUUUAUUUAACUUGAUCAUUCGGAUUAUGCUGUCGAGUAGGUUUUGACUGUAUAGUCACGAUCAACAACGACCUGCUUUUAGUUGAUCGAAUAACCAACUGUAUGACACCAUUGUGGAGGGUGCAUCAUGGAAAGAAAAUCCCUUUUUCAGUAAUGUUCUUUCUUUUGGUUGCAAGCAUUGUGCAUCAAACAGCUGGAAAAGCUAAAAACAAGUGUCUCUUUCUCAGCGCAUCAAAGGGCUACUAAUCCCAUGACAGCUGCUAUCCAUGCAGGAAUUCAAUGACCGUGAGUGUUUAACACAAGAUGCUCUAGCCCUGAUAGGGUAGGCUGCCUGCAAUAUGCAAUGCUGCUGAGAUGUUCCUAGAGAAAACUUUGCAUUUUCAGGUUUUACGUUGUCCUGACAACCUUGGUUAUAUCGCGCAGAAAUGCUAGAAUUCUAGAAUUAUCUGAAGCAGACAACAUUAAUUAAUUUCUGGCAGAAUUGCUACUCAUUUGGAGGGCUCUGCUCAUAAUGAUUCUUGUUGCUCCAUAUGAGAUCUCCAGUCUUUCUUCUUGAUUUCAAAUGAAAAGAUAUAGAAUUCUGGAACAGCGAGACUAACACCUCUCACAAAAUGCAAUUGCAACUUCCUUAACAAACAGGUGCAGUAGAUCGAUCUUUAAGUUGAAGACCCCAUCAUUUCCAAGAACUGUAGGCAAAUACGUAAUCUCAUUGGAACUUUAAUGCCAUCUGGAUUUAUAAGUUAAACCAGACCAAGCAUGGCCUCAGUCUCCCUCACCUAACCCUAUGAGAAGAAAACCACAAUUUUGCAUAAUCCUAAGACCUGCUAAUGCUUGUUCUAGAAUGCAACAUAUUUCAUUCCACGCCAUGAGCAUAUCAGCAAAUUUCAUCCAAGAUAGUGAGUCGGCAACUUUUCUUUCCCUAGCCAUUAAGUAGCAUGACACUACUAACCAUUGCAUUGUGUGACUGCCUGACUGUUGGUAUUAAAUUGAAUCCACAAAAGAUUAUAAAGCUUGUAAAAGCGUUAAAAAUGCACAUGAUUAAAGCAACUUACAUGUGAAAUUUUUAAAUCUCUGGGUGCAUUCAUGUAAUUGUUAAAAUUUGUUUCUCAACAACUCAAAACAUUGUACCUUAUGAGGAUGCCAAACAAGAAAGUAUUAAGCUGCUGUUAUUGAACUAGGUUCACUCAAGCUUGAUCAUCACAAUUACAUUAUAAAUUUGAUCUUACAACAUGACAGUAGAAACUCAAAAUUCUGCUGUCGAGGAUUUCGGAUAUAUGUCCUCCUGCAUUUCUAGUGCACUAACAACCUUUGACAAUUACUAGUGAAACAUACAAACUAUCAAGGCUUCAGAUGGAUUCUUUUGACGCUACAGUUCCAGGAAUCAAGUUGGUGUCAGCGUACAAUGGCACACACUGAUAAAAAAAACUUACUGCAAAAACUCUCUUGGAUCAGUGACAUAGCCAGUUAAUGCAGAUGCUGCAGCAGUAUAUGGAGAAGCUAGAUAUAUCUGGCCUUCUUUGUGACCCAUUCGUCCAGGAAAGUUCCUAUUUGUGGUUGAUACACAGACCUGCAAUCAUAAAAUCUUAAGUGUCUAGUUACGUGUGACAAUGUGAGUUAAGAGACUGACCCUGAUCUUGCAACCAAUAAAUAUUAAUAUAACAGAAGAUAACACUUGAGGCAGUGAGCAACUACAUAUUUGUGAAUUUUUAGAUGACAUGUUAAUGGAGUAAGCACAUAUCUACUCCAAAUGCAACAUCAUUUUUCCAAAGAUUAAGCUCACAUGAACAGUAACACUGAAAUUCAACUGAUGUUCAUAUACAGCCAUUAGUAACAAGAAAAGAUUAAAUGUAUGAUAUAGGUAACAGAUAUCCUUCCCAUCCUCAAACUAAAACAUCUUCUAAUAGAUAGUAAAUUACAUGCGUGGGAUGUAAUUUCAGUAUCAGAAGCAGUAAAAAUGGAUUAAUGAUGCAUCAAACUUUAAUGACAACAUCACCAGAUUUAUAUGUUUCCUCUGGUUUAAGUUUGAGCCCUCAGUCAUUUUCGGCCAAUGCUAAAUUUUCUUUGAAGUUUAACUUUACACAAAGUGGAGCUACACAUAAUGAUGUUUGAGAUGGAAAAAGAAUAUGAAGGCAAAGUGGGGCACUUGAAGCAAGCAUUUGAGCACAUUGGUAGUCUGCUAAUCAAAACUCUAUAAAUUUCCAGUUAAGACAAAAAUCUUCUGUGGAGGGAAAAGCAGGCCAUCACUGAAAGAGGAAACUCAAUCUGAGAUGAAAGAUAUCUUAGAUGGCACGAAAAAUAGCAACACGAGUAGGCACCUAAAAAUCCUUCAUCAAUGUAUGUAAACCAUAUUUUAUCAUAAGCCAAUUGUCUCUCAAACAGAAAUAUGCAUAACUUACCUGAGGUUCAUUCAUGCGUGCAUAGGUGUCUUUGGGGCCUCCCAAACAAGCACCACAACUAGGACUUGCAGGUGUAUCACAGCCAGCUUCCUCGAAUAUCUGAGCACAAGUUUUACCACCAGAUCCUGGGACUGGAAGUGCAUAUACAUCCAUCCAAACCUGAGAAAUGGGAAAUAUUAAUCAAAUGCAUAAACCAAAUGCAUUUAUCAAAUUCAAACCCACAACAUAAAAGGUGUCAAUAUUCUGGCCAAAAUUUUACCUUUUGUGUUGCAGGGACCAAGAAUGUUGGUACCUUGACCUUCUUUCCCUACAAAAGGUGCCAUUGAUUUUUGAGUUAAAGGGACAUAGUUCCCAUCCAAAACAGAUAAGAUAGUAAUGAACUUUAAUUUCCUUUUUCCUCAUCAAUUUUAUUCAGGUAAAAGGAGAGAUUUCAAACCUGUAAACUUGCAAAUAAUAAGAUGUGAUAUAACACACCAAUCAGUAGUUUGCCUACCCAACUGAAAACAGUUUCAUAACUCAUGCAUCAUAAAUGCAGAAAAUCUUUGUCCUCAAAAUGAGCCAUUUGAGGAAGCAUUUAACAAACCAAAAGAAAGAACAAAAAGAAAGAGGAGAAAACAUAUAUGAAGAAUCAAAGGUAUAGUACAGCGGUUGAAUGACCCCAAAAAAAACUCACCACUGUGAAGCAAGCAAAUAAAUGCAAUAUCAUCUUCCGAGCCAGUUGAAGUGUUUCAUUGCACAAAAGGUAAUGGAAUGGAUAGAUACAAGAAGUAGAAAUGAUUACAGAAAAAGAUCAUGCAACAAGAUUUUUGAAGCUUAUUAAAGCAACAGAUGCAUCCCUAGUAAAUGAUGACGAACAUUCUUCUACUGAUUGUACUCAAUCUUUGAAGACAACUCUCAGCCAAGACUAAAAAUAAAAAAUUCAGAAGGGAAUUUCUUACUGAAGCUAGAAAAACUUUGGCAGCAGCCAUAAAAUCCUCAGUUUUUCCACCAGUACAUGAUCCAAUGUACACUCUGUCAAUUUUCACGUCUUUGCAUUCUCUCGCCAAAGCACGAUUAUCAGGAGAAUGAGGCUGCAAAAUCAUAAAUGACACAGUUAAAUGCACGAAACAGAGCACAAACCUUAUUGUGAAUUGAGACAAUGCAUUCUAGGCAUUACAGGUAUAUAAUCCACAAUCUUUUCUGCAAAAUCAACACUUGUCAAAACAUUGCUGUUAAGCACUUAACCCACGUUUUUGUCCUCAUUUUCCGGGAAAAAUUAAACUAUUUUGAAUUGAAUUUCAGAAAGGAAACAUGUAUUCAUGAAGGACGCAAGGGCUACAAACAGAAAUACAUGCAAUGUUCAUACUGUGAAAUCAGGUGGCCAAAAAAAAACCACUUACCUUUGCCACUAGAGGUUCCAACUUUGAGAUGUCAAAUCUAUAUUCUGAAAGAAAUCUGAACAAAGAAAAGCUCUGAUUAGCAACAACUCAAGCUAGCAUGGGAAAACAAUCUAAACAAGCAGAACUUUGAUUAGCAAAAGCUAAACAAACUAGGAAAAAAUUGCAAAGCCAAAAUCUCAGACGAGCACAUGAUGUAACAUGCAACAACUUGGAAAUUUUAACUUGUGAACCUUACAAUUAGGCAAGUAAAAAAACAAUACCAUUAAGAUGUCCGUUGAACAUAUUUCUUUUGUUCAACACAUUAAUAAUUUAUAUCAGUAAUAAGUUAUACUCUUAGUUUACUAUGGUUAAUAAGUUAUACUCUUAGUUCAACACAUAUUUCUUUUGUUCAACACAUUAAUAACACCAUUAAGUUAUACUCUUAGUUUACUAUGGUUAAAAUGGGUCUCAGGUGAUACUUCAGGCAGUACGAGAAUCUUUACUUAACCAAAGUCAAGGGGAACAAACAUUUCUUAUUUCUUAAACCAUUGCAGCUUAAAAAAUUUCUCACUUGUCUAACACUCAUUUAAGGGCAAGAUGCCAAUUCGAACUUAGAUGGUUAGCUAUCGCUAUCAGUCUAGACUUCAAUGAUACAUGUUAUGCAGCAACAACAGAACACUCAGAGACACUUAAUCCAAGAAUCCCAGACAAGGAGAAAACAGCAUUGAUGUCUACCUAUAGCUGAAUUAUAUACUUUUAACUGGGCCAAAUCCCUGCAACCUUCUUGAACUGAGGCACAAUCCAACAAUUUUCCUACUUACAACAAAGAAGAAAUCCCAAGUGAUCCUCAAGUAAGCCACUAAAUCUUAUUAAACAUGUUAAGUUAUUCAAGUUUGUAAUGAAUUGGAUCUUAAAGGUUGUUAUCUGUAUUUUAAUGUGUCUAACAGCAAUCAAGUAAUUGCAUAUUUGACUAGCAGAAAAUCAGAACCUUGCCAACCCCCAAGAGUAGUAAAUAUACAAACUUAAAUUUUCUGCAUAAAUUCCCAAACAAUUCAACCUUAAACCAUAAGGGAAACUAACCAAAAAGGCAGGAAGCACACACAAAAGUACACUGAAAAUGAUUUUAUGGUAAAUCAAUGAAGACCUCACUUUAAUAUUCUUUCAUGACAAGCUAAAAUUCAGAAAAGAUAUAUUCAAAAUUUGAUUUCUUCCCUCCACAAAAAGUAAGUAUUCCCCAACACCUGCCCAAGAUACAACAAUCAACCCAUAUUAAAUUUCUUGAUGCUCCUUGAGGUUGCAUGCUUUGAAGACUUCUCUUUCCUGUUAAACCAGCAUGUGUAUAUACACUCACACACUGUGUGUGUGUCUGUUAAACCAGCAUGAAGACUUCUCUUUUCUGUACGUAUGUAUAUGUACAUGUGUGUCUGUGUGUACAUAUAUAUGCAAGUAUAUGUGAUUUGUGUGUGUAUACAUGGCUAAGUUAAUGACAGCCUUUCUGAAUUCUUCCUGCAAAACACCAGAGGCUGUCACCAGAGAUCUUGUAAGCUCAGGUUAAAAAAAAAAAAUAGUCUCACUAGCAAUUCAUGUCUGACAUGUUUAUUUUACACUGUUGUUAAACUUGCACAAAGUAGACAAAGGAAAGGCAGCCAAAAGCAAAUGCAGCAAUUUCUAGCACUAGCAGCAAUCCUAAAACUUCCAAAACAUGCUAACCUUGCUUGCUCAUCACUGUAAACUGGCUCAUAAGGCACAGAUGUCUUGUCCUGUAUCAACAAGAAUGAAAAUGUUCAUAAGUUGGGUAAACAGUUGCAAAGGUUCCAUUUUAUUUUGUAGAUUACAAUAACCAUGGAUGUUUUCAAUUAGAAAACCCGAGAAGAAAUUAGACUCUUGUAGAGGGAAAAAAAAUAUAAGAAGAAAGGGGCUGCAGGAGGUUGGAUCAUCGAAAUGACAUGUCAUUCUUACCUCGAGGUACUUAUAUGUGGUGCUAUCAGCUGGAACAACACCAUUUUUGCCCCCAGCUUCGACAACCAUGUUGCACAGUGUCAUUCUUUCUUCCAUCUAUGAAAUACAAAGUAACAACAGCUCAAACUUGCUCACACCGAUAGAUAACCAAUCAAGCAAAGUAGAAUGAUCUAUGUCAAAAGCAAGGUUAAGGAAACUCACAGUCAAACUUUCCACAGUAGUACCAACAAACUCCAUUGAUUUAUAUGUUGCACCAGCAACAGAUAUCUCACCAAUAAUCUACAAUUGAAGAUCAAUAAGUGGUCAGACUUUAUACCAUAAAAAAUGGAAGAUACCAGGAUCAGCCUAAUUUAAAUGUCAUACUGAUUCCAUGUAAUGUAACUACUUCGUAUGUUCCAGUAAAACUUACUUGCAAAAUUAAAUCUUUUGCCAGCAAAUAAUCGGGCAUUUCACCAUCCAUAACAAAUCUCAAAGUGGGAGGCACCUGGAAUCAAACAUGUAAAAGUACAGAUCAUGCAGGCAGGUAUUUAAAAAGAAUAGUAAAUACGGCAUACAUAGAAACUGAUAUACUCUAAAGAAAUGAGCAAAUUUUUCAAAAACAGAAAAUCAAAACAGAAAAAAGCGAGCAUCAGUAGCCACGCAGAUGCUUCUCUGCAACAUGUAUAAUUCAAAAAUAUACGGACUAAGAUGGAGAAAAUAGAAGUUAAAUAUAAUCUCCAUCAGAAGAAAAUCUUAACAUUGCUUUCACUUGAUCACAGACAGCUAAUAAUCUCGAAAAGUAUAGAAUCUAUCUAGAACUGAACUCCACAAUCACCAAUGAAGAUGAACGUGAAACCCCACAAUCAUCAUCGAAGACGUAUAUAACCUAUUUAGAACUUAAUGAGCUUUGCUGCAUGUAAAAAAAUAACUGAUGCAGUUCCACAGGUGGUGAAGACUCUACACUAUGGGCGAGCCUAGAACCCCUCUUCUCAGGAAAGAGUAGGAAGCUAAGACAAGGAAACUCAAGUCUCUCAGAAGGACGCAUGGUAGCAUCUGAACAAUGAUGACAUUAAUAACAAACUAGAUGAUGCACGCACAGAGAUUAGUGCAAUCAGGAAUUAUAAACAUCAGGCAACAGAAAGAUGAUUCACCUUAAGCAAAAGCUUUCCUGUGCCUAACACAAAACCAGCAUCAGUAUUACCAAUUCCAGUAGCAAACUGCCCAAAUGCUCCAGCAGUACAUGUGUGCGAGUCUGUACCCAGCAAGACCUGAAGGCCACAAGGGAAGACAAGCACGAGAUGUUGGCAACCAUGCAAAAACAUUUGAAUCUUUUCAAAAUCUAUUCAACUAAGGAGGCAAAUAUGAACCUCUCCGGGUCUGCAGUGACCUUCUUGAGCAAGAGCAACAUGACAUACACCUUUGUAAUCAGGGUUAGCCUGUAAAGUUAUUGCAUCAAGAAACCAAUUACAAUUACAACUACAAAUAUAUUUAUAGCAGAUUACACUUGAAUAUCAACUUCUUUUCUAUGACAUACCAUUUUGCAUCACUGUCAAACACAUACCUUAAAAUUGCCAAGAUCUUGAAUGUCAUAGAAGUACUUGAUGUUUUGCUCGUUACAGAAAUCCCUCAAGAUGCCCACAUUACGGUUUGCUCGUUCAUCAGUAGUGAAUAUGUAGUGGUCAGGUAUGAUGACAAGCUUUUCACGGUCCCAGACCUUUAAGUGGGAGACAGAAAAAAGAUCAUAGGUUAGAUGUUGGACAUGAAUCCAAUCAAGACAAGAAUCUAAUUCCACUUUACUCAAGUUUAAUCAAGUUAAACCUCAAUACUUGCGCUAGGUACUCUGCCAUUAUUGAUAACGAAUCCUAAACAUUAGCCUAUUAACAAUUAGUUCAACCCAAUGGCACUUCUAAACAAACAAACAAUCAACAAAUUCAUACUCUAACAUAACUCAAUUCACAAAUUCAACCCGAAUCAAUUCAAUUCCAUAAUGCUUCCAAGAAAACAAUAGCUCUCCAAAAUGCAAAUCAGCAAAAAGAUGUUUAAUUUUAGUUAAAUCAUUGAUAAACUGCUUAGUUCAUAGUAUAUACCUUUGCAUUUUCGCCAAAUUCUCUCUUGAAAAUUCCAAUAGCAGGAGGCCCACAAACAUCAUGAGUCAUCAGAACAUCAACAUUGACCCAGACAUUCUCACCAGGGCUCAACUGUGAUUUCUCAGAAGCCUUUGCGAAUAUUUUCUCAGUCAUGGUCAUCCCGGUCUUGACCUUAAGAAGGACAGAAAAAAAAUGACAAAAUUUACCACAAAUCCAUCAAAUUCAGCUACCCAUUUGACAAAAUAUUAUAUUAAAUUACAUAAGAGAGAACCCAACUGAACCAGUGGUAGCAGGCCUUCUUUCAGACUGCUGAGGUGCCAUUACAGACACAAUUUUCUUGCAGGCCCUUUUCUGGGAUUUUCGAACAGAAAAUGAGGCUUGUGAGGAGAAAGCUGAAAGGCCUGCAUCUUUCUGUUAACUCCAAAGUCACGCAAAACACAAAAAAGAUCAGUCCUUCACAAAAUCAGGGGAGAACAUAGAUUUUUGAAAAAAAAUGAAGCCUUUUCCGGUUAUUAAUUCAAUUCAACGCCUAAUAAUUGAAAUAUACCUUGUUAAUCAAAGGUGUAGGGGGUGAGGUAAUGGUAGCAGACGCCAUUGGAAAUGAUUGAGAAAUUAUCUUCACUUUUCUUUGUUUGGCUGCUGAGAUUUCUGUUUUAGGUAUACGGAAAUAUGAAAACGGUGGAUGAGGAAGAAGGAAACCAAAGUGUAAACAGAAUUUGUGCUUCAAUUUCUCUAUUUUCGUCUUUUAAUUUUUCCCCCACUUCUUGAUGGCGGCUGCCUAUUGAACUGGUGUUGACUUACGUGACUCGUGUAUCAAUCAGCGAUGGGCCACGGCGGUGAAAUGUGGUCGUGAGUUGUUGGAUUCACUUAGGUCAUGCCACCUUUAACUCUAAUUUUUUUUUUUUUGUCAAAACAUGCCACCUUUAACUCUACCGGUGUCUCUUUUAUUAUCUUUUCUUUAAUUUCAAGGUGUUCGUGUGUUCAACUCAAGCUCAAUCUUUUCAUUUCAGCCUAAACUAACAAUUAAGCACCCAACUUUCAAGUAAUAUGGCAAAUCUAUCAAUUAAGAUGUUACAGGAACGUUUCCAUUUGUCAUUUCUCCAGAUUAUUGAAAUUUUUAUUCUUUAAUAAAUUUGAUCGAUGUCAUCCAAUAGUUUUUAUUGGGAGUGUAAUAAAUUAUAAUCAAGUCGAACACCCUAAUGUUCAAACAAUUUGUUUGAUUCAACGAACUUAUUUAUCGAAUUUGAAUGUUAUCGAAUAUAAAAUGCUGUUCAAGUUUGGAUUAAUUAGUUGGUGAAUUAAGGUCGAAUGAACUCUUAUCAAGUUGAACUCGAUUCUAGUAUCGGGUAGUUUGAUUCAUCUUUCAAUUCUAAUUAUUAUUUAUUAAAUUUAAAUCUCUAAAUUCUAACAUACUACGAGACAUAAAUUUAAAUGUUUAAAUUCUUUUUAUAUUUCUAAAAUUUUAAAUUAUUUUUGAUCAUUUGUAGUUCAGGUGCAUAAUACGAGACAUAAAGCUAGUAUAAUGUGCAAUGAAAUUUUGGGAAGUAGUAACGUUGAGGGUUAAUUCUGCAGGUUCCCAACAGAAUGUAAAUGUAUUGAGAGUUUGAGACAGAAACAUCAAUGGAACCGUGAAAGAAUGCAAGAGAAAGGUGAAAUCCAAAAACUGCUGUACUUAACAGCAUUGCAACCGAAGUAGAAUAAACCUGAGUACAAGCAUGGUCGAGAAUCAUGGGAACUGUGAUUAAUGAAUAUCCAUGAAAGAAUCCCUUGUUAGCCACUGCAUCAAAACCUUGAAAGUUGAAGCAGUACUGCAAAUAGCAUUGAAGACCAUUCGAAAGACGCGCAACCAGAAGUUCUGCACAUUGACGUUCCUUGAAGGUCGUUUUUCAAUGAUAGCCUCUGCUGUACACUCCAGCAAAAACCACUUCGAUUCGAGCAGCCAACCUGCACAAACAAGGUCAUCCUCUUUAAGUUGCGCAGUUGAGUUGUGCGCAAAAGCAGCCCACUGAAUCCCGCUUAACUUUUUCUAAACACUGGUGCUGAUAACGCUAAAAUUCUUCAGUAUCUGACAUCCCGGAGCAUCAACAUAUGCAGAGAUGUAAUACUGCAAUAAAUUCUUGACAGGGUGGAGAGCAGCAUGAAUAAGGUAAACACUAACUUCAUCCACGUUGUACUCAACCUGUUAAUUAUCGAUCAUCAGUAACACCUUCAUUUCUCCAGAUAUUCUUGCCAAGGCUGCAAGUGACAAUGAGUAUUAGCUUGUGAACUCGUGAGAAUAGUCAACGCAAAUUUUACAACGCAAAUUUUACAAUUGACUUGCGUUUCCACUUUGAUAGAAGCAGAUCUGGAACCAAGCAAGCUUUCGAUGUCUUCAUCAUUGUGAGGAUGAACUUCCUCUCCAUCUUUUUCCUGCUGAUGCUUGUUUCUUCUUCUGUAUUCCAUUAUGUUAAAAAAAAAAAAAUACUUUCCUUAAAAAGAUGUUUUUGAACACAAACUAGUUCGUUAUUUGCAUGAGGAUUGUGCUCUUGAUUCAAUUCUCAGCCUGUUUUGUUUGGACAAAGGAUUACUCGGAAUAAAACUUUUAUUUUAUCGCAUUUUCAAUUUCCCUUUUUGUUAGACACGAGGACAGUAUGUUUAUGAUGGCACGCAAACACAUUUUUAUUACACAUAUAUAUCAAAAAAUAAUAGUUAAAUUUUUUUUCUUUCAAAUAAUUUUCUGUUUAAAUACAGAGACAUUUAACAUUUGGAUAUUGAAUUCAAAACUUCUCACUUAUAAAAAAUAAUUUAAAAAAAAAACAUUUAACAUAAAAAUAUAACCAAAAAAAAAAAAGAUAAAGAGACAAAGAAGGGGUGAAACUGGCACUGUAAGGUUAACCCCUAAAUACUAGCCAUGUCGUCUUGUUCCUUGCAUUGCAUCAUCUUCCCAACUUCCCACGGGACAUACUAACAUUCAUUACUACAACCUGAGUACUUUUUUAUUUUAGCGCACAUACUUUUUCUGCUACUGCUUCUGACAGCUGCGGCUGCUGUCCCUUUCCUGCAUUGUAUCUCUGGCGGGAAAAACCGAAAACCACUGAACCAGAAAAAUACUUUACUCCUGAGCAACAGCAAGAAUGCAUUAUUGGGUAAUGGCAAGGAACGUCGUCGUUUCACUUCCUCGGUGGCGCUCUGUUUCUCUCCUCCUCUCUCCUUCACUUGGCCACCUUUACCACCAUCGCCGCAGCUUCUUCACUUCGUCUUCUCCCUCUCUGUAAUAUCUCUGUCUCCCUCUCUUUUUAGACUAUUUAGUACAUAUAAAUAUGUUUGUUGAUGGGCUUUUGCUAGAAAGUUUGAAUUUUUGGUUUCCGGUUGGUUUGGGAAUGUGGUAAAGUUUCAAUCUUUACUGUGUCAGAAUAGUUUUAGCUUUUUGCAUUUCUGGGUUUGAUUAGAAUUUGCGACAUAUUAUCUGGGUUGGUUCUGAUUUUGGUACAUAUUUUGCUUGUGUGCGCGUUUUCUUGAAAGAGUAUUUCGGAGAGUGUGUGAUGCUGUGUCUGUGAUUCAGUGAGAAGUGUGUGUAUGUGUGACUGUUUUUCAUUGAGUCUGUGUGCGUGUGUGGCUGUGCGUCUCUGAGUCUAUGUGCCCUUGUGGCUGUGUGUUUCUGAGUGUGCGUGUGACUGUGUGUUUGUUAGUAUGUGAUUUGGUGUGGCCGUGUAUUUCUGACUCUGUGUGUGUGUGUUGGGAGAGUCAGGGAGAGAGGGAGGCAGAGAGGGGGAGAGAAUCUCUGGGAAUCUAAUUUCUGUUGGCAAGAAAUAUUAUUGAUGUACAUUUUGUAUAAUUGUGGAGUGUGUGAAAUUCAAAUUUUAUAAUGUUUUCAAGUCUUGGAAACUGCAAAGUUCUAUACUUUGCACCUUCGUUAAGUCCUUUUGAGGUCUACUUUUUAAAUCGUCUUGGUAGAAAAUGUAUGUACCAUGUGUCUGCCAAGCAACAAAGAGCCCACUGGUUAAUUGCUUUAUUAUUCACAUUUGUUAUGACUUUAAAUAUGCAGUUUUAUGAUCUAAUUGAUGGAGUAUGAACAAUUUUAAGUAUUUACUUUGUUCACAACAGCAUCAGGCGGUCAGAGCAGAGAUGUCUUAAAGAGCGGAAUUUUUUUACUAAAGCAUGCAGAAAGGUCAAGCAAUUGAGUAAUAGUCUCGAUGAAAAAGAUUUGAAUCACGUCCUGUGGUGGAGGGAGGUAAGCUAUAGACAUGACUUUGUUGGUAUAACGCAUGCGCGUGUAUUAUGUGAUAUCUGUCACAAAAAAAAAAAAAGCUUUGCAUCAUCAUUUGUUGUUGUUGCUGCUGUCCUUCAGAAAAUGCAGAUGUGCACAAAGCCUUCUACCAUCUCACUUGUCAAGAGGCUUGCAUAUGAUAAUUUGUUGGGUGUGGAUAGCAACUUGAAAAAUGGGAGGUUAGUCCUUUUUUCUCUUUAGGUCACUGGUGGACUUUUUGUCUUCUAUCUCCAUUCUUGGCCUUCAAUUUCUAUUUCUUAGACCAUUAUGCUUCCCUGUCUUUUGCAUUAAAAGGAAUUUAUCUUUGUUAAUAAAUUUGAACCUUUUUCUUUUGCAUUAUUGGAACUGUAAUUUAGGAAUUGAGGAUCUUUGUGUCUUUUGUAGCCACUAACUUUAAGAUUAAGAGUUGAAGAGUAAUAUUUAGCGUGAUUGUCUUGUGUGUCUGUGUUUCCUGAUUCUUGUAACAAAAUUUUGUUCCUUGCAAUGGACGAUAUUACAUUGAAGGGACUCAAUACAAUAGGCCCUUCAAUACAAUAGGUUUAGGAGUUUUAACCUGUAAUUUAAUGCAUCCACGUUAAAUCUGAUGGUGUGUUGCUAACAUCAGUGACAAGAUGGCCUUAUGCCAGCAAUGUGGACCGUCAGUUAUUGUAUGCAAAUUAUAACAAAAUUGUUUUGCUUGUAUUGGAUCACAAGUUGUUCUUUUCCAAGAAGAUGAUUUUCUUUGGAUGGGCAUAAUGAAAUUCAGUUCAUGCUGUCCAAAUAUUCCUUUUUUGAUGGAAAUAUGUAAAAGCCCAUUCUCUAAAGGUCAUGUUUUUCCUAGCUAACUUCUUUUCUGAAACUUAGGUUUGAUAAUGGACUUUGUUUUCUCUCUCAUCCUAUGUAUGCUCUCUAUGCUUGUAUAGAAAGUACCAAGCUGGUCAUUGACUUAAGUAUUCACUUUCUGCUGUUGUUCUUUUGUAGCCUGAAGGAAGGCAACCUUAAUUGGGAAAUGCUGCAGUUCAAGUCAAAAUUUCCACGCGAAGUUUUACUUUGCAGAGUAUGUUCUUCAAUUUAUUCAUCUUGCACCUGAUAUUCUAAUACUUGUUUUCUUUGAAACAACUUAUUCAGCUUUGGUAUAUUAUUUGAACAAGUGAAAUUGAGGAAAUGACCAAUAUAGUGUUUUAUAGGUUGGAGAUUUUUAUGAAGCCAUUGGAAUUGAUGCUUGUAUCCUCGUGGAAUAUGCUGGUCUGAAUCCUUUUGGUGGUUUGCGUUCAGAUAGUAUUCCAAGAGCAGGUUGUCCAGUUGUGGUAAGGAUAGUAUUCCUGUGUAAAAUUUAUUUUCUUUUAAGGUUUUAAUUACUCACUUUCUCAUGGUUCUAGAGAUCUCUAGGAGAUUUAGUCGAAAGCUCAUAAUUUUCCUUGGCCAAUUAUUUAUUUUUUUCCCAUGCUGGGAUCGAUAAAAUGUUCCUUUCUUCAUUUAAGUGAACACUGAGAAUUAGCAUAUAUGUUUAUUUUGUAGACCUGUUUCUUAGAAAAGAGAUUACUGUCUAGACUUCUUACUCAUGGAAGGUGUGAAGACUAUCGGCCAAGUAUGGUUUUAAAAUUCUUCUUGUAUGUUCUCAGCAUACUAGUGCUUAUGGUUAUGGGUUGCAUUGGUGUUAGGUAUUCAUUGCCCUUGCUUUAUCUGCAAAUUUACUGGAUGACACGCAAAGAAAAUAUGAUCUUGUUCAGGUGUCAAUCUUGAGUAUUCUCACUUGCUAUAAAUUAUAGCAAGCAGUGCUGUUAAGAUGGUAGAGGAAGGGUUCAUUGCUGUUUUCAUGUUUAUAUCUUUUUGAACUUGCAUAUUUUUUUCUUUUUCAAGUAUUGUAUGAUUUUGCUUUCUGAAAAUAUUUACCUUCAACAUACAUGAUGCUGAUCAUUUUGUGUUGUUUUCACUGUGCUUUUUUGGCAGAAUUUGAGACAGACUUUGGAUGACCUGACACGUCAUGGCUUUUCUGUUGUGAGUACCAUAAUGCAAAACAUGCUAUCUCAGAUUCUCUAUUUCUGUGUAUGGUUUGGAAACUGAUCUGUGGGGCAUUAAAGCCAAAACACUUAAACCUGAACUUUUUGCCUAUAAAACUAUCUAUUCUCAGUUAAAGUGAUUAUUACCUGUUCAGCAUUCUACAAGGCAGUAAUAGUCCCAGAAAUUUCUUGUGUUCUCUCUUAAUUUUUGUGAAGAAUAGAAAGCUUAUGUUCAUCUUAUGUGAAAGUUUUUCUGCUGAAACACUACUCAUAAAUUGCAUAUAAGUGAUGUACUGUUAUUGCUUCAGAUGUUGUUUAAGGACAAAACAAGAUUUUUGUCUGCUACCUCAGUUCUAUUAAAAUUUUACCAUGAGAAUACUUUGUUUUCCAUUUUUGUCUUCCAAAUAAUGGCCUGCGUAUGGUAGAUUCCCAUUUUCUUUUAUGGAAGCUGAACAAAUUCACCUUUAUUCUGCUGCUAAGCUACCACCCCAUCGAUCUUCCAAGUAAUAUAUAAUUUUCCCAGGGUUUUGCCUGAUGAUAUUGUUUUGGAUGAAUGAUGCUGGCUAUGUUCUGAAGUACUUGUAUUUUGCAGUGCAUAGUGGAGGAAGUUCAGGGCCCAACACAUGCUCGUGGACGUAAAAGUCGUUUUAUUUCAGGGUAAUUAUGUGCUACUGACUUGGUUAAAUUUGGAUUGCUCUCUAAAUUGGUUGUUUUGGUUGUAUAUAUUGUAUUUCUGAUCCCUUCUUGAGAAUUUAUUUGGUUAUCUGCUUAUUUUCAUUUAUUCAUGAAAUUUUUAUUGUUAUCUUGAUCAUUGGUUGUUUUGUUUUCCUAACUUAUUCAAGGUGAUGGGCUUUCAUUUACUGCCUACCUGUUUAGAGUUAUAGAUAAUUACACUCAACUAUCCAUCAUGACGUCAGUUGUUGUACCUUUUAGUAAGUUUGUUGGGAUAAUUGGGUAGAAUGUAGUUGAGAAGACUACAAUAUGUUUUCUAAGUAUAUGUUCUCCUAAGUGACCUGAUAAAGCAAGUGAAGUUUAUUUAGUCAGAAGUAGAAAGUGUACAUAUGAUUCAAUAAAAUUAGAAGGAAAGAAAAACAGAAAACCUGAUCAGGUUGUGAUCACAGUUCAAUUUUGGCCUCUUUCUUGAAGCUUGAUACUGUAUGCUGGAAAAUUCUGCCUUUAGUAUAGUCUCAGCGGUGAAAUUAAGAUUUAUAUGUAGAUUUUUACUGUUCUUCUAUAUCAUGAUGUUGGAGUACGAGUAGUUGGUUCAUUUUAUUUUUUAUAUUUUUUUUGGCAAAUGACCAUGCUUUCAUGUAUUUUCAGUCAUGCGCAUCCAGGCAGUCCCUAUGUCUUUGGACUGGUUGAAGAUGACCGCGAUGUUGAUUUUCCAGAGCCAAUGCCUGUAGUAGGUAUGAGUAUAUCUAAUCUUCUUAGCUAGACCGAGUUUCAGUUGAGCUUGUUCUUGAUGAUAAAGUUGAGUUUUUCUUAUUUUGUUCCUUCUUCUAGGAAUUUCCCGGUCAGCCAAGGGUUAUUGCAUUAUUUCAGUGUUGGAAACUAUGAAGACUUUUUCUGUAGAAGAUGGUCUUACUGAAGAAGCCAUAGUUACUAAGCUCCGCACUUGUCAGUGCCAUCAUUUGUUUCUGCAUUCAUCGUUGAAACAUAAUUCAUCAGGUUUUCAAGGCCGUCCUCCCUAUCCUGAUUCCUUGUGGACCAUUUCUUUGGGACUGAUUGUACAAUCUGUUAACGUCUUGAUGACCAUGUCUUCAAGAUAAGUGAUGUGAUUUUCUCUCUGAUAAUUUAGUGAACAAGAAAAGGUAAGAAUAUUGAUUUUGUCUCUGAUAAUGAAGCAAACAAGAAAAAGCAGGAAUAAGGAAAAGACAGCUCCUUUCAUCCUUGAUGUUUCUUUCAUUAUCAUUUUUCUGGUGGCCACUACCAGUGGAUAAAUCAUUAUAUUGCCAUUUUUGCUGAUACCAUUUGAUUGCGGUUGGAUCUCACUGGAAUUGAGUCUACUUUGCAGGAACUUGUCGCUGGGGAGAGUUUGGUGAAGGUGGCCUCUUGUGGGGAGAAUGUAAUGCUCGACAGUUUGAGUGGUUUGAUGGUAAUCCACUUGAUGAACUCCUGUUUAAGGUGCAGUUGAUUGUCCUGUAGUUCCAAUAAAGCCUACCUUUUGCAUGUCCAUGUUUAAAAUUUAAAUGUUUCAAAUUGCAUGAUUUCAGGUGAAGGAGCUUUAUGGUCUUGAUAAUGUUGUCACAUUUAGAAAUGUAACUGUUGCUUCAGAAAAUAGGCCACGUCCAUUGUAUCUUGGAACAGCCACACAGAUAGGUGUGUAAGUUGUAUAAGUCCCUUUUUGCAGACAAUUGAGUUUUAAACUGCAACUUUUCUUCAUUGUUCGUUCUUUUAGGUGCAAUACAAACUGAAGGAAUUCCUUCUUUGCUAAAGGUGUUGCUUCCAUCAAAUUGUGUGGGUCUUCCUGUCCUGUAAGUCAGAGAUUUUUCUGUUGUUGAUUCUUGCUUCCAUAGACAGCUCUAUAAUCAUUUUGAAGAAAUCCAUCUCAGAGCAGCAUCCAUAACAUUGCAUUCACACAUUGAAAAUGUUGUCAACUCUGUACUUUGUUCUCUUCUAAGUUCAGAAGCUCCUGUAAUUUUUUCUCCGAGGAUAAAUAAUUUGAUUUUGAAGUUUCAUUAUUCCUUUUCCUUCUAACCUAAUUCUCAUGUUCUUAAAAAAAAGAAAAAAAAAACCUGAUUCUCAUAGUCAUGCCCUACUCUGAGAAGGGAAGCCUUUCUUGAGAUGCACAUGGAGGUUAUGUGAGAAAAAAAAUGAUGGGUUGGGGUAGGUCUAUUAUAAUUGGUCCAAAAACUUUGAACGCAUACCCACUAAGGAAAAUGACAGAUUUGGCACAGGAGGAGAAUUGAUAGACAUUUACAAUCCUGCUGGAUUCCUGCUCUUUUUUCUCUCUUUAUGGGUCACUGUAGCUUCCCCUUUUUCAUGCUAAUAGUCCAUAAUUUUAGCCUUUCCUUUGCUGUGGUUUUGUUGUUCUUUUGGAUAAUGGUUUAAUUUCCUUCAUUAGCUUGCAUGUUUGUCAUUGUAUCGGCUAGUAUUUUGCUUAGUUUGUGGCUUGUUCUUCUCUUAGGUACAUGAAAGGUCUUCUCUUGAAUCCUCCUGCCUAUGAGAUUGCAUUGACCAUUCAGGGUGAGCACGUCAACCUUCUAUUAGUUAAUUUGUUAAUGACAGUAGUGUGAUCCUACAUCUCUGUCAUGCUGCUCUCUAUCUCUCUCAACUUUUUUUGGGUUUUUCUUUGGGGAGGGGGGUUCGCAAAAUUGCAACUUCAUUCUACAUAUUCUUUUUCAGGAUUAUAUUGGUUGACUAGUUAUGUGCAAUGUGAUUUUCUUGAUGAUUACUGGAGCAUCUAUAAAACUUCUUGAGCUGUCUUGCUAGCCAUAUCUUAAGUGAUAUUCUCGUUGUCCUUUGCUUUGUUGCCUAAAAGGGGUACCUUUUCAAUAAAGUCUAUUACUUCAAUGAAUUAUAGUAUCUCAAUCUCAAACAUCUUACUUUUCUAAGUAUAUUUCUGCUUUUCUUUUACUUCGUUUCCUCUUCCAGUCUUUGUUUUAAGAGUUUAUGGGUGAACCAAGGUAGAGUUGGUGAUGUUUUUAGGAAACUGAUGUACAGUCCGAAACUUUUUAUUCAGGUUUGCAUAUCUUAGUUAUGACACUUUGUCAAAUAAUGGUCAAAAAGAACAGAACUCUACAAAGCCUACACUUAUUUUAAUUUGAGUUUUGUCUUUCACCAUCUUUCAGAUCUAGAUCUAUUUACAUGUCCAAUAGUUUGGAAUGCUUUUUUGGGCCUUUUUUUUCCUUUUGGAUGCAAUCUUGUGUUUUUCUUUCUUAUCUAUUCUAUCUUUUUGUUUCUUCAACUUUUAAAGCAUAUUGUAGUGGUGCUGAAUGUUACAUUUGUUGGGCCUUGGCCUGGAAGCCUUGGAAGGUGGUAGCUGGGGCAGUUGGGGUUUUGAGGGGAUGAGAUUGAAGCUCAUAAAGGGGAGGGACUAAACAGGUGUUGAAGUUCUUGGUGUUUGGGUUGGAGUUGGUGGAGGUUGAGUUGCUUCUUUUCCAUAUUAACUGUGAUUUCCACGUCCAUCCAUGUUAGACUACUGAGCUGGAUGUCAGUCUGUCUAGCAUUAGGCAUAUUUUUAAAUUUAUGGUGAGAUACAAGAUUAGCGUGCUAUAUUUGUAGUUGAAAAGUUUGGAGGCUUUGGUUGUCUAGUUUAUCAAUGUUUACCAAAUUUAACUCGCUUGGAUAUAUGUAUGGUCCUGUGGCCAUGGACUUGUGUUGAAUGUGUAUUUUCUUGUCUCUACUAAUACUGUUUUUAGUUUUGCAGAAAUAUGCAAGCUCAUGAGCAAUGUGGCAUGCUCAAUCCCAGACUUCACUUGUUUUCCUUCAGCAAAGGUUUUAGGUCUUUACCUCUGUGUUUAUUUGUUGUAACUGAAUGCAUUGGAAGUUGUUUGACUUCAUGGUUUCUGGUUGCUUCUGCUGGCUUCUAGGAUUGAGGUUGUUUUGACUUGACCUGGGUGAUUUUGAGAAGACGUGUGUCUCUUUGCUGGAUUUGAAGACAAUUCACCUCACUGAUGAUAUUACAUGUUGAUUGUGAUAAAAAAAAAUUCCAAAUUGGGCUGUAAUCUUGACUAAGUUUCUUUUUAGCUGAUGGAAGUAUUUUAUUGGAAUACAUGUUUUCAUGUUUAAAAGGUAUUGGUGGCAUAUGACCUGAUUGGUGUCUUAGCCACUGGAAUAGUUUACAUGGAUAUUCCUUCUGCAAAUGUUUCAGGUUGGACAUAUGUAUAGGAAAUAGGAACCCUCCUUAGUUGAAAAAUCUUUUACCUGGGAAUAAUAGGUACCUGAAUGGAGAGAUAAGUUUCAAAAUGUAAAAAUAGAGGAAAAUGGUGGAGAUGCAUAUGAAUGUCAUUUCAAAUGAAAAUGAUAAUUAUUUAUGAAAAAUCCUUAUUCACUUGAAUGUGCUUGUUCAUCGCAAUGGUAAUGGCAUUGAUUCAGGUGGUCAAAUGCGGAACUUGACCCAAGCUAUUUCAGCAAUUUGCUCAAAUUACUGUCUCGAAACUUGAAUUCUUAUGCUCUAUCGACCUUUUGUAACUUUUCCUGAUCUAAAUGAAUGGGUUGGUUUUGCGUGAUAUUAUGUUUUUCUUCUCUAUGCACAUAUUACAAAUCUAGUUCCAAUGGUGUUUUACAGAUACAUAUUACUAGAAAGCUCAUAUGGUUAGUGCCUUUCUUUCAUUGAGUAUUUGAUUGGUCAUCAGGUAUUAAUACAUGAUCUGGUGAUAGGUCAAAGGUUCACUUUUCAAUUUUGGUAUCCUUGUAUAGUUGCAAAUAUUUUUGGUUUCUUGCAAUCUGAACCUCUAUUUUUUUGUUUGCAGCUUGUGAAAUUACUUGAACUGAGGGAGGCUAAUCAUAUUGAGUUCUGCAAAAUCAAAAGCAUGCUUGAUCAAAUACUUCAAAUGCAUAGAAAUUCAGAGCUGAAAGAAGUUCUGAAAUUAUUGAUGGAUCCGACGUGGGUAGCAACUGGACUGAAAAUUGAUUUUGAAACAUUAGUAAGUAUCACUUAUAUACUGGUUUGGGAAGUUCACCCUUACUCAUGCGUUGUGCAUUUCUGGGUUUGCAGACAUAUCAAUCCAUAUGUUGACUUUCAUUGGGUUAUAGAUUUACAUAGAUAGUAUUGUGGCUGAACUGCCGAAAGUUUAUACUGUUUGUUGCCAUUCACUUAGAAUUUGUGAUCUUUCUUAUGGUUUGCAUCUUCUAAAUUCUUCAUAUUCUCCAUGUUCCUAGUGUAAGUUGUCUUGUUCCCUCUUGUAGGUCAGUGAAUGUGAAUUGGUUUCUAGAAGAAUUGGUGAAAUCAUCUCCUUAGAUGGUGAAACUGAUCAAAAGAGCAGCUUUUACCCGAAUAUUCCAAAUGAUUUUUUUGAAGAUAUGGAGUCUUCAUGGAAAGGUCGUGUCAAGAGAAUUCAUUUGGAGGAAGCAUUUAUUGAAGUGGAAAAUGCCGCUGAGGCCUUAUCUUUGGCUGUAAGUUGUGUGAUCCACUUUUCUUGUGAUUGUACCAUACAUAUACUAUCUUGCAUGAUACUCGUGUAUAAGCUCAAAAUAUUUAGUGUUAGGUUUUCACUAAACAAUUGAUUAUUUUUUGGGGGAAUAUUUAAGAGGUUCUUUUGAUAGUAACAUGUAUUGUAGACUGGGGAUAGUUUGUUGCUAUCUGACUUGAGACAUUGGCAUGCCAUAUGUAGCAUAUCAUGGUUCUAGUAUGGAUUAAGAACUAAAAAUCAGUGGUCUUCCUACAAACUGAACACUAGGAGGAAAGAAAUACUCAAGAGAGCGGAGGGCUAAAGAUGAUUGAUGAACCUGUAUUUGUGUGGAGGAAAAACUGUUUAAAUGAUAAUUUUCUUUUAGAAAAUGAGGCGAAGAAAAAGGAUAAGAUGCUUCUCGCAUGUGUUUGUCUGAAUAGAGAAUGCCAAAAGAUGUCAAGUGUUUGGUAGGCGUAAUAGGUUGCAUCAGUAACUAAAUUUUCUUGGAAAAUUCUACAAAUUUUGCAGAACAUUAGAUAUAGGGAACUUAUUUUCCUACAAUCCAUCAGGUAACCACGUUCAUUUUAGUUUUUAAUCAAAUACAAACAUUCAAUCUCAGCUAAUACAUGUCAGAGACUCAGAAAGCAUGCACAAAUAUUUGAAAUUGUUGUCCAACCAGGUUGCAGAAGCCUUUGAUCCUAUCCUUUCAAGAAUAAAAGCUACAACAGCUCCACUUGGUGGACCAAAGGGAGAGAUAUUGUAUGCUCGAGAGCAUGAAUCUAUCUGGUUUAAGGGGAAACGUUUUGUACCAACAGUUUGGGCUGGUACCCCUGGGGAAGAACAAAUUAAACAGCUUAAACCUGCUCUUGACUCGAAAGGUAAAAAGGUUGGAGAAGAAUGGUUCACCACUCUGAAGGUGGAGGAGGCAUUGGUCAGGUGAUUUUUUUUUUCGUUUUUUCCCCACAUAAUAAUUUAGAUGGUUAAUCUUUCUUGGUUAAUGUCUUUCAUCUCUGACUGGAAGUUUUUUGCUUUGUACUUCAGGUACCAUGAUGCAGGAGCAAAGGCAAAGGCAAAGGUCUUGGAUUUGUUGAGGGGGCUUUCUUCAGAGCUUCAAACGAAGAUCAAUAUCCUUGUUUUUGCUUCCAUGUUGCUCGUGAUUUCAAAGGCAUUAUUUUCUCAUGUUAGGUUGGAAAUUAAAACUUGGGCAAUUUAUGGAACAUAAAUGUUUUCCCUUCAUUGUCACAUGUCAUGGAAGCCCUUUCUUUACUCGUGAUAUUUAACAAUGAGAAUUAAGCUUGCAUUGGUUACUUUAUAUAGAAUCUAGCCCAUGCAGGAAAAGAUAAAUUUUUUAGAAUUGACUGCAGACUGGAAGUAUGAAGUUUUCUAGGACAUGUUGACCGAUUUGAAACUAGUGCAUUAUUCCACAGAAUAUUUUGCAUUUUCUUUGGAAAAGAGAGAAACUAUGGAGCUUUUGAAAGAAAACUGUGAUACAGGUUGUGUUUCAUGGUCUGAUUUUACAACCACUCUCUUGCUAUUGAUGAACAAGUGUUACUUUUAUGUUGAAGUUUUAGGAAAUUAAGCAAAAGCAUUACUCAUAGCACUUAUACUUCUCUUGGUGUUUUCAAACUCCCAGUGAGAAGGUUUUGAGUGUUCAGAAAUUAAUUUCGCAUCUGAGAUUUUGUAUUUUAGUAGUAUUUAUUCAACAUUGGACAUAGAAUCAAUUUUAUCAUAAUUGUUUGGGAUAAUUGCGUUCCUGUGUUUAGUUAGUCUUUGACAAUUUGCUUUUGCCUGUGACCCACGUAUCUGUUAGGUGAAAUAUGUAAAUCUAUCUUUGUGCAUUCUAUUUCGAUAGAAGCAUGUGUACACAUAAGAAAAUGUACACAAAUGUGAAAAUAGGAGAGAGAAGUGAUUAUCCCUUAUGUGUUACACAGUUUUCAUGGCUUUGGUUUUGGUCCUGUUAUUCCUAGUAAUUGUAUCCUUAGUCACUUAGCAGCUUUAGACGGGUGGAACUUUAUCUGGGCAUUGAAUUUUAAUCAUAAUUCAUGUACCAAAAUCUGAUUUCAAAAAUACAAAGUACAUUUCUCAAUAAUGUAUUAUUCAUAUGGACUUAGUGGACCUUUGUAAAAUGCUGCUAACCACCUAUCUAGUUUCUUCUUACUUCUAUUUGUGUUAAUUGAUUUGUCUGGUGCAUUCAUUGUGGAUAUGACUGGAUUGUAAGUUUACUCCCUUUUCUACUUAGUUAAAUCUGCAUUCAAGUUCUUAACAUACAUUUUUUUUCUCUCUCAGUGAGGGGCGGAGAAGGAAAUGGGUCUUUCCUACUCUCACAAAAUCUUGGGGUACAGAGGUAGAUUAAAACAUCAGAUUUGUUAGUUUAGUUUUCACUUGUGCCUGCAUAGAUGUCUAUUUAAGUAUGAAAUAUGUUGAUCAAUGCAUUCGGUUUCAUUUUAUUGUAAUUGACAGAUCCAUCACAAGGAUCUUCUUGCUGCUUUUCUUUACCAUCUGAGAGAUGCUUAGAUUCUAGGGAAAAGCCUCAGAAACUGGGUUCAAAAACGUAAUUGGUGCUGCCCCCAAAAUUGUCUGAUUUUCAAUCCAUCUCCCUGGAACUUUUCGCUAAUUUGUGGUACUUUUGAACAGAUCAAUUUACAGUCUGUGCUGUCUAUGAUUUGGUGGUUAUGACUAGUUUGUCAUUUUAGAUUCUCCAUCUGGAAUGUUGAGGAACCCUUUUCUAUAUUUGGUUGAAUGCAUGUGUAUGGAUGUGUAGCCCACAUUCUCCCAGGGUUGGAGGCACACCUUAUCUAUUUACCAUUUGAGCAUUAUGAACUCUAUUUUGGUAAGAUAUGAGAUAAUGACACCUGCUUGACUGCUGUUUUACUUGGUUAUGCCUUCUUGUUUCAGAAUUUGAGCCAUUAGAAGCAUUGUGAAAAGUAUUUUCCUAUUGUCUCCUUGGAAACUUAUUCUUUAUUUCAACUAGAAAUUUGACCUUUCUGAAUUUACUUGUUAAAGGACUUAUUUUACUUAAGGGAAAAUGAUUUAAUUUUAUAACAUGAUUUAAUAUUACACUGGCGAGUGUAAUUAUCUUGUCAUAUUAUUUGCAUUUUUUCAUAAUUCUAAUUGGAAUCUACUUUAUGCACUUCAAUGAAGGAUGGAGAGCCAUCAGAGGGAAAUCAUCAGAUGAAGAUAACUGGUCUAUCGCCAUAUUGGUUUGAUGCUGCAGGAGGAAGGGCUGUUGAUAAUACGGUUGAUAUGCAAUCAUUGUUCCUUUUGACAGGGCCAAAUGGUGGUGGUAAAUCAAGUUUAUUGCGCUCAAUUUGUGCUGCUGCAUUGCUUGGAAUAUGUGGUUUCAUGGUACCUGCAGAAUCAGCUGUUAUUCCCCAUUUUGACUCCGUCACUCUUCACAUGAAAUCUUAUGAUAGCCCUGCUGAUGGAAAGAGUUCAUUUCAGGUACAUCAUAGUGUCUAUCUUCGAUACCAUCAUUGGUGAUUUUUUUUUCUUUUUUUUUUUUGGAUUUAUUAAAGAAUGUUUAGCUUACGUGUAUUUCUCUGAUAUGUUACUGCUGACUAUUACGGAAAUGGACACAGCAGGGGUGGAUAGUCCUUUUAUGCUUUAGACGGGUUUAGGAGCACAGCAAGCAAUUGCUUUUUUAUGGAGCCAAUUAAAUGCUAUUUUGUAUGCCUGCUUAUAACAUACACUGAAUGAGGUAAUUGGUCUACUGAUAAUAUUGAUUCAUUUUCCAUCGAUGUAUCAGAUUGAAAUGUCUGAGAUUCGUUCUAUUGUUUCUGGAGCUACUUCAAAAAGUCUGGUCCUCAUAGAUGAAAUAUGUCGAGGUACGGAAACUGCAAAAGGAACGUGUAUUGCUGGUAGUGUUGUGGAAACACUUGAUGCAAUUGGUUGUCUGGGUGUUGUAUCCACCCACUUGCAUGGGAUCUUUGAUUUACCAUUGAACACAAAGAAUAUUGCAUUCAAAGCAAUGGGAUCAGAGUCUGUUGAUGGUCAAACGAUCCCAACAUGGAAAUUGACUGAUGGAAUCUGCAAAGAGAGCCUUGCAUUUGAAACAGCUCAAAGAGAGGGAAUUCCUGAAUCAAUGAUAAGAAGAGCUAAAGAGUUGUACUUUUCUGCAUAUGCAAAGGAUACAAGUGUAAAAGGUUAUACGCCCAGCAUAAAUAUAGUUGCUUCUGAGACAAAGGACAAUCACUUUGGUAAAGCUGCUGAUCAGCAACUUUAUGUUGGAAAAAGAGACAUUCCUUCAAAAACCGAGUCGUGGAAUCCAAUGGAAAUCUUGUGGAAAGAUGUAGAAAAUGCUGUAUCGACUAUCUGUUCAAAAAAUGGGGUUGAGCUAUACAAAAAGAAAAAUGCAUUUGAGCUUCCUUUCCUGAACUGUGUUCUGAUUGGUGCAAAGGAGCAGCCACCCCCAUCCACGAUAGGUGCCUCAAGUGUCUAUAUAAUGUUUAGACCAGACAAGAAACUCUAUGUUGGACAGGUAGUGAUCUAAAUUCUUCCUGAUUGCAACCCCUGGAAUCCAUCUCCUCUUCCUGCGGUCAAGUCUUGCAAGUCAUUAGAUUCUAUGCUAGCCCCCCCACCCCCCCUCCCUUUUUCCAAAGUAGAUCAAUUAAUUUUAUCGAACUAGUUGCCUAACAAUAGAGUUGCAUCUCAUUGCUGAAUUUGAAUUUGAAUUUCCAAGAGCGAAUCCUUUUGGGAUGUUAAUGAGUUGCACAUAUUACCUUCAAGGUGUUGAGUCACGAUUGAUCCUGUGGCAAAUGAAAACACUUCCUUUACAUGAACAGGGCCCUAUUCGUGAUGCAAUUGGUUAUUUAGUUGUUUUCAGGUUAACGAGUCUUGAAUCUUUUCUGAUAUUUGAUUCUGGACAAGCUCUAACUUCUCUUUCUGCUCUACCAUUAUGUACAGACUGAUGAUCUUGAGGGCCGAAUCCGUGCUCACCGCUUGAAGGAGGGAAUGCAGGAUGCUUCAUUCUUGUACUUUUUAGUCGCGGGAAAGAGCAUUGCUUGCCAACUUGAAACCCUCCUCAUUAAUCAGCUCCCAGAUCGAGGAUUUCCACUCACUAAUGUUGCUGAUGGAAAGCAUAGAAACUUUGGCACUUCUCCUCAUUCGUUGGAAAGUGUUGCCGUGCUAAGAUGAAUCUAGAUUCCCUAACAUCGUAGAGCAAGCCAGUGUACAGGAAGAAUGUAUAUUCAUUGUAAUCCAAAACUAGAGAACUUGGUAAUCUGAGAUGAUUGCUUAAGGUGGCUGCAGCAAUUUUGAGUCUGUGGGAGUUGCAUGAUGCUUUUUUGCUGUCCAUAUGCAGGAUGCUUUUUUAAUGCCGAAUGAAUUAUGCAAAGGUGGAUUGCAUUACUUCACCACAUUUUUGUAUGCAGUUCCUCACUCCCCUUUCCAUUGGGGCUUGUUCAAAAGUGAGCUUAUCAUUCGUGUUAUUCGGACAUUCUGCUACGAUUGUCUGCUAAUGCAACUCAUGUAUUUGAAAGUCCAGCUAAUAAUUUCAAUGCAAUUAAUCAAAUGAGUAACCCUAUCUUGUAAAAAGUGAAGGAUUAUACGUCAACUGUUUAUAGGAUUAUCGUAAUAGUCGAAUCACGGUCAUGAUUUUCUGUUUAGAUCCUUUGAUGCAAAAUAAAAUCUGUUAGAUCUGGAUAUAAAUCGGGAUGUUGAUAUGUAACUAUUCAUAAGUUUUUUGACAUAAAUUAGGAUAUUGAUACGUAACAGUUCAUAAGUUUUUUGACGUAUAAUUUUUAAGUAGAAUAAUUGAUAAGUUAUGUAAUGUAAAUAAUAUCUAAAAAGUGAUGGAAUAUAAGGAGAAAAUGAAAUAUAAUUUUAGUUUAGGAAGCAAGGCACAAAAUAUGGGAUAAUGUUCAAUUUCAACAGUUUAUUUACAACCUAAAGUAAAGGGAAAAAGAAAAGAACAAGAACAUGAAAAUUUUGGUAAAAGAGAGACUGAGAGAUAGAGAAGAGUAAAAGGGAAAACUUAAACGUGGUCGGCAGGAUUCGAACCUGCGCGGGCAGAGCCCACAUGAUUUCUAGUCAUGCCCGAUAACCACUCCGGCACGACCACGGGACGUGCUAUGAUGCGGUCAGAUUAAACAUUUUAGAAAAAAAAAAGAACCCCGGAACAGGGAACAUGAACUAAUUUCCCUCUUUUAUCUGUCCAGUGCCACUACUGGCUGCAGACUGUUCAGUCCUCAAUCUUUCUGAUAUGGGGCUUGUUUAAUUCUAGUAAGAAAACAUAUAUAUUCACAACUUUCUAGUAAAUUUGUGCCUUUUCAUCUCUUUAAUAGCUCAAGUAAUAAACUUUAGGUCUUUUUCAUCAUUUUCUUGAUAAUAUUUUCCGCAAAGUUCCAAUCUUUUUUGCUCAUAGGCAUUCUACUUACUCCUAUGCAGGUAUAAUUUUGGCGUUGCUUGAAUUUCAGAGUGGAUUGAAUUAGUUUGUACCAUGGCUUUAACAUUUUUCAGAGGGAUAAAAACCUGCCCCUUGGUCCACUAUCCAUCAGCAUAUUUUGCAAGGAAAAAUGGGUUUUUUUACUGCACUAUGGGAAGCACGGAAACCCAAUUUGCCACACAAGAAAAGCAGCAAUCUGGUGAUUCAAAAGUUGUACCAAAAACCUACAGAAAAUCACCUGAUAAGUUGUUGAAAGACUACGAGGCAAUCAUAGGGAUAGAGACUCAUGUGCAGCUUAACACUUCAACUAAGGCAUUUUGUGGCUGCCCUUAUAGUUAUGGGGCUCAACCCAAUACUAGCAUUUGCCCUGUUUGUAUGGGGCUGCCUGGGGCAUUGCCAGUUUUGAACUCCAAGGUUGUAGAAUAUGCAGUGAAAUUAGGCCUUGCCCUUAACUGUAAACUGUCUAUGGAUUCGAAAUUUGAUAGGAAACAGUAUUUUUAUCCUGACCUGCCAAAAGCGUACCAGAUAUCUCAGUUUGAUGUUCCAAUUGCAAUUGGUGGUUAUAUUGAUAUUGAUCUUCCUGUUGAGUUUGGUGGUGGGCACAGAAAGUUCGGGAUUACCAGGGUUCACAUGGAAGAGGAUGCGGGGAAGUUGCUUCAUACUGGCACUGGGAAUUAUUCUCAGGCAAUUAUUUGAUCAUAUCUAUUGGACUGAUUCGGUAUUGGAGACUAUAACACCGUCAAGCCAUCUAUUAAAUUGGUUUGAUGAGCCAUUUUCUACUGAGAUAAUUUUAGCUUUGUGUCUGUUAUUAAUCUUGUUGCAUUGCAUAUUUGCAUUUGUUUGACUGGGCUUGUCAUUUUGCUUUUAGUGUAUUAGUGUGUAGGUGGUAGUUUUCAUGUUACAAAUUUGAACACUGGCAUUGAAUGAGAAUCGUGCUUCUUUUAUGAAAGCUUGCUUGUAACAAGGAUUUGUGUUUUCUAGUGCAGGUAGAUUUGAACAGGGCAGGGGUGCCAUUGCUUGAGAUUGUUUCAGAACCUGAUAUGAGAACUGGUAUUGAAGCCGCAGAAUAUGCUGCAGAAUUGCAGAGGGUAGUUAGAUACUUGGGAGUAAGUAAUGGUAAUAUGCAAGAAGGAUCACUGCGUUGUGAUGUCAAUAUCUCAAUCCGUCCAAUUGGGCAGCAAGAAUUUGGUACAAAGGUAAACAGGUGCUAAUCUUUUGUCAUUUUAUUAAACAAUUAUGAGAGAUAAGACAUAGGCCCUUUUCUCACCUCAUACCUUGUGAACUUUCUUGCUGUUAUUCACUUUGACUAUUUUCUCCAAGACCAGAGCAGUUCAGGUAUAGCAAUAUACCUAAAGUGGAGAUCUUAUCAAACGAGUAUUGGAUACUGUCAAAUGGAGUUUUUCCCCCUUUUUUUAUAAGCUCUUAGCAAAUUGCCUCGAGAAGUUUCAUCUUCUAAAAGCUUGUUCUCCAAAUGUUUGUCUUACGAUUGAUCAUUCUUCUGCAUGAGGGAAGAUGCUUCGAAUAGAUUUCAGUCCAGCCAAUGUAUAAGAUUCCUGUUAACUUCUUGUCUAUAUACUGUGAAGCUGCUCCAAGUAAGCGAAUAGGGUGUAAUGCUUUAUGCUUUGGUUCAAAGAACUGAUUGCUUCUGCGACCUCACCAGUCUACACUUACAUCAACAGGUUGAAAUAAAAAAUCUGAACUCAUUCUCAUCAGUUAGUAGAGCCAUCGAUUUUGAGAUUUCAAGACAAGUGCAACUUCACAGUCAAGGUCAGGCUGAUCAAAUUGUCCAGGAAACUCGCCUUUGGGAAGAAGGCGCUCAGGUUACGUAUUUAAUUAUUGCAAAACUAGUUCUAUGGAAGUCUUGUUGUCCACUGAUAUGUUCUAACUUUUUUUUUUUUAACUACUUCUAGAAAACCAUUACAAUGAGAAAAAAGGAAGGACUUUCCGACUAUCGGUACUUCCCAGAGCCUGAUAUUCCCGGAGUUACCCUUAGUGAGGAAUAUGUUGAUGGUAUUCGGAGUUCUUUACCUGAGCUUCCAGAAAUAAAACGUCGGAGGUAUGAGAAUAUGGGUCUCAGCAUGCAGGAUGUUCUGUUCCUGGCCAAUGACAUAAAUGUAAGUUCUGCUUGUCGUUUUUUUUUUUAUAUAUUAUUUGUUGGUCGUUUAGCUAACGGGAAAUCUAAUUAUACAUCCUUUUAUGGAAGUUGAGGCUGAAGCAUCUUCUUUUCUUCUUCAUCUUCGUUCCCUUCUCAAAUCUAAAUUCAGAGCUAAGCCUACUUUGAUAUGUAUUGAGCAAUCAAGAUGUAGAUUUCAUCCACAGUUCCUUGUAUGGAUGAAUGAAAAUGAAGCUAAAUUCAUGUUCAUGAUUAAUCAUUAAUGCUACCCUUGGCAUACCCUCCUUCAACAAUAUCACAAGUUUGGAUUAUCUAAGCCUUUUUUUUGUUUCGUAAAUUGCUUUUUCAAGGUUGCAGAAUUUUUUGAUGCAACAAUAGCAAAUGCGGCUGAUGUUAAGUUGGCCGCAAAUUGGAUAAUGGGCGACAUAGCUGCAUACAUGAAAAAUGAAAAGUUGUCCAUCAGUGAGAUCAAACUUACUCCUCUGGAGUUGGGUGAGCUUAUUGCUUCAAUUAAAGGUGGAACUAUCAGCGGAAAGAUUGGCAAAGAGGUAAAAUUAUUCAUAAUUGGCAUUAGUUGGACAUAUCUUCCUUUCUAUGUAUUGGUUGUGGCUAUCUGUUGGGAUGUGUUAGUUAUAUAUCUAGAAGUGGGAGUUCUGAAACCUAAAACCUCCUACUUACAAUCUCUCCCUCCUUACCACCCAACCCAACACCUCCCCCCCCCCCCCAACAAAACCCCAAAACAAAAAAAAAAAAAAAGUUUUCUUCUUUAAAUGAUAUCUAAAUUGGAACAUUCAACCCUUUUGUCUUUUGUAACCAUUAAAUAGCAAAAGUUCUGAUAAGAGUUUUAAAACUUCGUUUAGCUUAUUGGGGUGGUUUCAUAUGUUCUUCAGCGGCCUACUUCUUCUCCCUUUCUCCUGUUGCUCUUCCCCUUUAUAAGUAGCUAUCUUAGGACCCAUGAUUGAUGCACUUACAGAGGCCUACAUAUGACCAACAAUCUAAUUCAGCCAUGCAUUAAGAAAUAGCCUAAAGCAAUGCUGGAAAAACCAAACACCUCAAUGAGGGGUGGGAAGAUUUGCAUGUCAUACUGACUCGACCUUCUUCUUGUUAUUUUUGUUGUCAUGAUUCAGCUAUUUCAAUUAAGUUUCUAUCAUAAAAUUGCAGAUAUUAUUUGAACUAAUGGCUAAGGGCGGGACAGUGCAAGGAUUAAUAAAAGAAAAGGAUUUGGUUCAGGCAAGUCAGUUUACAUUACUUUUCAUGCUUCACUAUAGUUAACUUCCUUAGCACAGAGUAAGAGCUUCCAUUUUCAUGCUCCGUAACACUGGAGUCAAAGCACUGUUCCAUUUCAUACACUUGCCCGUUAGAGAUUUGAUUCUCUAACUUUUUUGAGAUUAUUGGAUGUCGUGUGACUAUAGGUAGUAUUAUAAUAAAACAUAGUGAUUUUUUCAUGUUUCUGGACAUAACUGCAGACAUCUUUGUUAUUGUUUAUGCUCUUUCACAUCUAAGUUAGUACAUUCAUAAUACAUGCUUGGGAAUGGAUUGGGAAAAUCCCCACUCCGAGGCGAGUUGUGGAAGGUGUUUGGAUGUCCAAGCAAAAAACAAUUACUAUGAGGUUUGGAUUUGGAAUGGGUGGGUGUGUAGCCCCUCUCUUUCAAUAAAUAAGCUGAAUAAGGAACUUCUGCAAUCCAAACAAGGCACAAUAACAAACUAGCAAAAAACAGAGUGACAUACUAGUUGGCAUGGCAUGAUCAGAGGUCCAUCUCACGUCACACUAUAAUUGGACUGCAAAAGUACCACCAAAUUAUGACACAACAUAAAACAGGCAAAUGUGGCAUUCUGACAGACGUGUAGGUAAGGCUUAUAUGGGAAAUUCGGUAAAUUUUCCCUACCUAAACAAAAUGUUUGACAAGACAGAGAAUAUAAGAGAACCAAAUUGACUGGAAAAGGAUGUAAGCAUUCACAUUUGGAAUUAAGUUAAAGGGGACCAACCAGAGUUUUCAACAAUUAGGAACAUUUAGUUGCUUGAGAGCCUUGUCACUUUUUCAGCACUAGACCAUUUAUUUCUUCUGUAUCAACAUACCCAGAAAUAGGACAUAGCACUUUCCACCAAUUUCUGCAAACAAAUUGGCAUCCUAAAUUAACAAAGAUAACAAAGAAAAUAAUUUAAGAGAUUACAUCAGUGAACCUAAAUUGCAGUACAGUGACACAGAGCCCCUAAAUUUCGUUUAUGUCUUGGUGCCUUUUCCGCAACAUGUUUUAGUGACUUCAUUGUAUUCCUCAAAAGGUGAGCUAUACUAUUCUGGCACGGCACAGAAUUCCAGGUAGAGUGCACUUUUUCAUGUUUAAUCGAGUUGAGCUUAAUAAUAUUUGAUCCAAACUUCCUAGAAUCAACACAUUAGUUGGAGUAAAAAUGCUGCAGAUAUGAGCUGUGAGUAUGACUGCAUUUGAACCAGAUUGUAGAUGGCAGUGAGAUAGUGAAUAUGGGCAUAGAAGAUGUAGUUCUUUGGUGUAGAAGGAUGGGUUUAAGAGCCUAGAAUUGAUUAAUACUUGGGUAUACAAGAUGCUUUGAUGAACUUGCCUCAGUCUUUAAGAUUGCUAUAUCAACUUGAUGUUCUAUUUACCUUGUUUUGUAAGCCAGAUUGUAGACCGCAGUGAGAUAGAAAAAAUGGUGGAUAAAGUCCUCGCUGAUAAUCCAGAGCAGCUGAAACAGUACCGUGGUGGCAAAACCAAGCUACAGGGCUAUUUUGCGGGCCAGGUAUUCCUGCAGAAUGUAGUUGUUUCUUUCAUUUUAAUGAUUUUAUGUACUUGUGCAGUGCUUUUUUUACAUCACCAUCCAAAUGUUCAGGUAAUGAAAGCAUCAAAAGGCAAGGCAAAUCCAAAACUUUUGAACCAGAUACUUUUAGAAAAGUUGAAUACCGAAACUUGAUGCUCUCUAUCAGAUGGUUUCUCAUGGCCAAUGCAGCUACAAACAUAUCCAUCCCUCCAAUUUCACUUCCUCAUCCUGUUAUGUAGUUUCCAAUGCACGUGAUUGGACGACCACAGACAAACGUGCUCCUUGAAACGAAUGUGACUCGAUAAGGGUGUUUUAAUUGCGAAUUGGAGGAUGAAAGCUUGAUAUAUUCCAAAGAGAUUUCUUUUUAGUAAUGCUUCAUGUAUCUGCUGUUGGCUACAAGUCAAACUAAUGUGUUAAACGGCACAAGAAGGAUGAAAUUGUCAUCCCGGAGGAAGAGACUGCACAGUAGCCGGAUUAUUUCAGUUUUAUUAUUGACUUCUUUUUUACAUGACUGAAUCUUGUUCAAUAUUUGAUACAACAUUUGUCACUCUGCAUCUGUAAGUAAACUGCUUCGACAAAAAGCUGUUGUUCUUUGGAUGGAUGCAGUCACAAGCCUGUAAAUUUACUCUAAAUUCAAAGAUUCAGUUCUGCAUAAACCUCAGGAUUUGAUUUCUUGUGGAGCAUGUAUAUUAUUGAGGUUGCCUUUGAAUAUCCCCUGAGGCUACCUCUCCCAAAAGGCAAUUCCAUCGCACUACGGUGCACCUAAUAAAAUUAUUCUAAUAGAAAAUCAUAUUUUUGUUGUCAUUUUUUGCCAUUUGAUUUAUGGAGAAUUUUUUCUUUUUUUUUUUUUAAUUUUAACAUUUUAGUUAUUCAAAUAGAAGUUCCCUAGAUAUAAAUGUGACAUGUUUUUGAUAAAUUUAAGAUCUUUCUGUUUUAUUUAAUUUACUACAAGACUGUGUUAAAACAGUUUUUUUAAGAUAUAGAUAUUUCUUUGUUUCUAUUUUCGAUAGUUGUUGAUAUUGUAAGUACUAGGGGAAAAAGCCCGUGCCAUGCGCGGGAGUUUAGUACCUAUAAUUUAAAAUAGUUAAUAAUUAUUAUUUAGUAUUUUGUAGUAUAAGAAUUGAAGUAUGGCAAUUUUAUUAUGUGAUAUUAAAUAGAAAAAUCAUAAAUUACAUAUUGAGUAAAAAAUAUAAUAUGCACUGAAACAUAAUUAUAAAACACAAUUAACCACUUUGUGUCUAAUCUAAUUGAAUAAAAGAUCUACUUAUAUCUGCUCAUGCAUUUUAGGGAUAUUAAAAUUUGUUGUUUAAUUUGAAUUUGAUUUUGAUAUGAGGGCAAUCCACCUUAUUAUCUUGUCAUAUAAGUGAGAUUUGAACAAUUAGCAUACUUGAAGAAAUCAUUGCUAGUGGAAUUUCGGUUUUUGCAAGCCAAAUUCUUUGAUUUAUAUUGAUUUCAAGGGCAUAUCAUCAUGAAACAUCCACAUGACCAAUCAAUCAAUUAUGAUUUAUUGUAUGAUUUAGGACAUAUAGCAAAGCAUCUCCUUCUCAGUAGGGGUUACAAUCACAAAACAUCAGUUUUUGACCUAGUUGCAAAGAUAUACAACAACUAACAUGCUAAUCUAGAUGAAUAUUUACCUCAAAAAAGUAUUAAAACAUCUUAAUCCAUUCAAUUCAAGAAAACAAUUAAAAGUGAAGUACAUACUUUGGAUCUACAGCCAAAUACUUUUAAGUAGAUAGUUAAAUAUAUUGGCAAACCAAAUGGAGUGAAAAAUUGUCUAAAUGGAAUCAUCAAUAAAGUAGCAAACAAUUUGAAAAUUACCGUAACUAAUAGUUAAAACAACAAAAGAAAUAGAUGCAAUCUAUAAAUGAAAAAUUUUAUGAUGAUAAACUUAUUCUAAACCACAAAUAACAAUUAACAAAUGUGAUCUCCUCCCUAUCAAGCCUAUCUAACAUGGGCAAUUGAAUUAAAAUACUAAAAAAAGUAUUGCACAUACAACUUGCAAGAUUACAGAUUUUUUACAAUAAAAAAAGUAGAUUAGCUAAAGAAAACAUACCUAUUGAAAAAGAUGUUGCAAAAUGGGAAAGAGCAGUAACUAAUAUAGCAACAUUUGAAUUCAAUAGACUACAUGAUUGUAGUGGAACAAAGUUAUAAGCAAAUGAAAUAAAUUUGAAUAGAUGGGGGUUACUAUGGUAACGGCCAAGAAACCAAACUUCUCUACUAAUCAGUAUUAAUUGUGUCUUAAUAUCUAUAUAUCAUAAGUUUGCAAAUAACUGAUGAGAAAGGCUUUAAGAAAUUAAGAGACUUGGAUGUUAAUCCAAUUAAAUGAUUAAAAAGAUUUUUAUGUAAUUCCACUAAAACACAAGCUAAAUUCAAUUGUACCCAAUGUUUAAUCGGAUAUCGAAUAUUGCCACAUGUUAAAUUUACCCAUAGCUUUAAAUGUCUGACCAAACAUUUAAGUAAUUAUAAAAAAAUCAAAUUAGCUAUAAUGAUUCAUAUUCAAUACUUCAAUUGCACUUCAAAUACUCUCAUAUUCCCAAAAUAGUCCCACCCUUGCGGUUGAAAUCUUUACCUUAAACUCAUUCUUAUAUAAUAUAAGGAAGAUAAAUUCAAUUGUACCCAAUGUUUAAUCGGAUAUCGAAUAUUGCCACAUGUUAAAUUUACCCAUAGCUUUAAAUGUCUGACCAAACAUUUAAGUAAUUAUAAAAAAAUCAAAUUAGCUAUAAUGAUUCAUAUUCAAUACUUCAAUUGCACUUCAAAUAUUCUCAUAUUCCCAAAAUAGUCCCACCCUUGCGGUUGAAAUCUUUACCUUAAACUCAUUCUUAUAUAGUAUAAGGACUUAUUCUCAUAUUAUUAUUCCAUUUGAAAGUUUUUUAAUUUAUAUAUUGAUGAAUUAAUUUAAAUGUUAAUUUGCUUUUUUUUCUUAUAUUUCACUAGAAUAUCUAUUUGUGUAACAUAUUAAUAUUUUAUUAACGUAACGAAAAAUGUAUACAAGCAUACGUUCAAAAUAGUGCAUCAAACGUCCAUCUACUAUAUAUCUGAACGACUUUCUAAUAACAGAAACUUUCUUCACAUUACCAUUAAAAAAAAAAAAAAAAAAGGUCCACCAACAUAUGAAGAUUUUCUCCACCAACUUUGCCUAUUUCACAUCUCCCAUCUACCAGAAUAUUGAUCAACUCAUUUUCCCAAUAGUUUUAUCUUUUUCUCACUUAUUUAACAUGUUUAGUGCCUAAAACUGAGUAUUUUUAUUCUUACCUAAUAAUAGGGUAAUACUUAAAAAGAGAGUAGUUUGAGACUGUUGGGAAUGAGUGUACAAAAUUAUGUAGUGGGAAAAAAGAAAGAAGCAGUCCUUGAAAAUAUUCAGCUCCCCUGUGACAUGCAUGAAACAAGAUGCAAUGCAGUCAUUCAAGCGGAAAAUGAAGCUACAUUCAUUCUUUGAUUCAACGUUUUUGGACACAGCACCCAACACUUAUUCCUUUUUCAUCAUAAAUUAAUGAUACAUACAACGAUUGCCAGUGCAGAAUGCAGUUGAUUUUGCAGCUUAAUUGUUUUCAUCCACAGCUUGACUGUUUACAAAUAAGCUCUCUCUUCUUUUAGGAAAGCCUGUGCUUUCUGGAUUUGAUCCUCUAUAUUUCAGUUCUUGGUUCGUUCUAAAAUUUGGUUCAACAGCAGAAGAUAUGGAAUUCGUAUCUGUUCCACCACCACGCCUGUAAGAAUUAACCGAUCCUCCAGGGUAUUGGGAAGGAGAGGCAUAUCUUCUUGAUGGGUCUCGCAUACCAUUACCCCUCGAAUCAACCACAUCAGCAUUCCUCGAAGAAUCAGUGAAUGAUCUAUCGCCUGAGCCAGAUCCCAAUGGAGCACCGGUUGUCACUGACGUGGAACUGAAAGGAUCAUCUGGCCCCCAAGAGGUAAGAGCUUCCUUCUUGUGGGCAAAGAAAUGCCAUGCUCCAAAAAGGAAAAGAAUAAAAAACAGAACAGGACUCGUCCAUUGCAUCGUAUUGAACUCGCUUCUGAAAACUGGAAGGUUGGAAUGAUACAUCGCCACAUAGCCGCUUCCAAGACUGAGAACAACUAGUCUUUCAUUGUUACUUGCUACUACUGGUCUCACAAACCCUUUUUUGUCAUCUAUUUUUCUUUGCUGUUGGUUCAGAAAUGAUGCUACAAUCCCAUCAAAGCUUGCAGAGAACAGAAGUUUUGGUCCGCCAGCCCUAACAUAAUGCUGGGAAGACACAUUAUACACAUAGAUCUUCUCCGCAUCACCAAUAAGCAAGUACCCUUUGAUUGCUUGAAAUGUUAGAGGCUCUCCCAUAUCAAACUUCCUCUUGGAUCUAACCCUACAUUUGAAGUUCAUUAUGUCACCGAGCAACAGUACAUGUAUCAGAUCACCUUCUGAAGUAAAACCGUAUGCUUUUGACCUCUCUGUGGCAUCAAAAACAUAGCGUCUCACCACAGAAACGUUCAAACCUUCACAGAAAGAUUCUCUAAUCUUCAUGGUCCUUAAAUCUAAUGACCCAGCACCAGUUUCUGUCAAAAAGAGAAGUCUCUGCUUCAAGAAUGCCAGUGGCCUCCUUGAUGGUGAAGCCAAGCCGUAAACUGUCCCAUUAUCCCUGAACACCCUGAUCUUGCCCCUCAAAUCUGUAGACAAAAUAUACCUCUUCCGCCCAACAUGAUGCACUUCCAAGAUAGUGACUGGUGAAACACUAUCACCAGCUUGAGGAACGUCAAACUUCACAAUAACAUCCAUCCGAAGUGAGUUCCAUUCAUCCCCAGUUGAAUUUUCCCAAACCCGAUGCAUCAAAAUGGCACCAUCCUCGUGCCCUGUGACAACUAUGCUCUCAUUCUUAUAAACCGACAUGUAGGAUACCAUAGCAGUAGUAGGCGAUCUGGACAACGUGUCAAACUGACAUAAAACAUCUCCAUUUCUUGCUAAAGCAUACACUCUACCCGAAUCAUCUCCAACCAGAACAUACUUACUGAACCCCUCAAAAUCCCGGUAUGGCAACACAUUAAUACAAGUGGGAUUUGAUCCAACUUUCACAGCUGACACAAAUUGAAAUUUCUCAGACCAAAAAGGACUAAACUUCGUAACCGACACCACCCCUACACUAUCUCCAUUUUUAACACUACUGUCUAACUUUCCAUCUUGAAUCUUCUCAGCAUUCCCAUCUCCAUCAACCUCACCAUAUUCUUGCACAGUAUCUUGCUUUCUAUCAAUGGGAUAUUUAACUUUUGAGCAAUCUGACAACUUUGAUUCUAAUCUAGAUAACAGUUCAGUGAAACUUUUCACUAGCUCUUCCAUCUUUUCCAGUUGAAUUUCCUGCCGUUUCAGUACAUCUAAAGCAUCACUAACCUCAGGUUUAUGUUCAAUAACAUGCUCAUUUUCAGUAUCAGUUACAAUUUCUGCUGAAUUUGAUUUCGCAAGAACCCGCAUAAUACAACAUAAGUAAAGUAAUAAAAGCAAAUGAAGUGUAAAAAACUUGCCUUUUUGAGAGGUUGCCAUUGAAUAAGAAGCAAGAUUUUUAGCUCAAAGCUCUUUUAUCAUUGCCUGAAGUUUCAGGAGUUUAUGCAGAUCCUAUUGGUUGCUUUAUUCUUUGUGGACGUGAAAGAUAUUUCAGAGCAAGAUUGUACUCGUUUCUUUAUGGGAUUUGGACCUUUUUCCCUUCUCUUUUUUCGGGGUUUUAGGGAAGAUUUUGGGAGUGGAUUUAGGUCAAAAGAUCGAUUUUUAGAUGGUCUUAGGACGUGGUAUCGGGAAGACAACGAAGUAAGCAGAAAAGACGGCAACCUGUAAGAAAAGAGGAAAUGAAACAAACAAUAAUUAGCCAUUGAUGCCCAAAACUUUUUUGAGUAUUUGAUUUUGACCCUUGGGAUGUUUUGGACAACUGUAGAUGCUCUCAUAAACUUUAAUUUUAGUCCGCCGCUUUAAUUUCUUUAUUUCUUCAAACAGGUCAUAUGAAUUUAGUUCUAGACUCAAUUUGCUUUUAAAGUUAAACUUGUCAAAUUGAAGUUAAAGUGUUCUAAAUUAUAGGAGGUAUGGAGAACAAAAAUGGUGCGUAAAGAGAUAUUCCAGUCAUCUCAAUACAUUUUUACAUGAUCCUUGCACAUUAUCUAAUUGAUUUUUUGAUUGUGUAUUUGUACCAAUAUGCUAACAUCAUUGGUUGUUUAAUAGUGAUUCGCCUAAUUCGAUCACUUAACUCUUGAUUCCUCAACUUCUCCCCUUCUCCUAACAAUUCGAAUUAACAAAAUGAACGUUGGAAUGGACAUAUAAUCUAUUGCUGUUUAAAGUUUCAGCAGCGCAAUUAAUUACAUAGAGUAACACUUUACAUAUCUCGAAUAUUGAUACAUCUGUGACCAAUUUGUGACAUACUCAAAAGAUAUAUGCUUAUUUUGCACGUGUAUUCUAAUUUUUGUUAUUGAAUUUGAAGAAGUUGAAUAUGACGUAUUUUAGGCAUAGAAAGAAAAUAAUUUUUUUAAAAAAAAAAAUUUAUUGACGUGUACUGUUGACGCCGCUAUUGGUGGAAAAAAAAAACUCUAGCCGUGAAAGUGUAGAAAAGCACUUUCAUUCGUCCAACAAAGAAUGAUUAACAUGGUACUUUGUCGUCAGCACCACUACCAAAUUUUAUUUUUCUCGUGUAGUCAAUAUAAUUCUUGUAGCAUUUGAAGUCAAAUACCACUACCACAAGGUUUUGUUGUAAUUUGGAUGUUUAGUUAAUGUAAUAUUUGCUUUAAAAUUGUACAGUGCAUUAAAUGUUAUGUGCUAUAUGGUGGACAAGACAUUGGUCAAUGUCUGAGCAAAGCAACAUCAAGAAUUGAGGAAGAGAGACUAAAAAUAGUCAUGGUGCAAAAGCGAUGAUGAGUUGGGAGGUUACAACUACACAGGCAAAUCAAUGGUCCUCCUAAAGCUGAACCCCAAAUUUAGCAAAGAGCCCACGUUGCAUGAAUUUUGUGAAUCACAAGUUGGACAUCAAUUAUCUGUAAAAUGAGGACAGCAUGUGUUACUUUUCUGGCACACAGGAAAGCCUAGAAAAUGACAGCCUCAGAUAUUUCACCAUCUUCUAUAUUCCUUGUAUUUCCUCUGAUUGCAGAAAGAAGGUAGCAGAGUUGUGGCAGGCGCCAUUAAUGGUGGUGGUGACCGGUUGCUAGGCUGUAGACCAUGGCAUGCGGGAGCACACCAGCACGUAAAGUGAUGGUGGUCGCGGAUCCCUGUCGCGAAUCAGCUGCUGCACUUCAAUAUGCCCUCUCCCAUGUAGUGCUUGAAAAUGACACGUUAAUUCUCCUCCAUGUUGAGAAUCCUAAUAGUGCCUGGAGAAUCCCAUUUGGUACAAUCUUCAGAAAAGCACAGUCGCUCCCUGCUUCUGCCGGUGCCGCCUCCAUGUCCUCGUCCUCAUCCUCAUCCUCAGAAGGUUUUGUUGGUGGUGGUGGUGGUGGAGGGACCAUAGAUUUUCUCGAAGCAAUGAAGCAAGCUUGUGGUAUUGCACAGCCUAGGCUAAAAGUUCGUGUACAGAGGGUGGAAAUGGAUGGAAAGGACAAGGCUUCUGUACUUCUUGCACAAAGCAAAAGUCAUGGGGUUGAUGUCAUUGUUAUAGGGCAAAGGACGACUCUCUCCAAUGCAAUAUUAGGGUGAGUUUUCUAUUUUCCCCAUAUACAUCAUCCAUGCAUGUUUAUAAUACGCAUAGGGUAUACUAAAAGAGAUUUUGCACUAGGAUUUACAUUUGUUCCCCUGAGAUGUUGAUGUUAAACUUGCAACAAUUUCUCAGUUGAUCAUCAAAUUGAUCAAAGCAAAAUUAUCUGAAUCUCUUGCUGACCUUAGCUAAUACCCUACGCAGAAUAAAGGCAGAAAGCAAUUUUAAAAAUCGGUGAAACCAGGAGAAAAGUUUAUAUUUACUUGUUCCUGCGUAUAAUCAUUAUGAUAUUUAUUCAACUUCGAUGAAUUCUUCCAGAAAAGAAGUUCCAUCCUCAAUCAGAUUAACUAUGCCAUCCUCUUUUAAGUGUUGUGCUCAUGUUCCUAUCUGCAUUUGUGAGCAGGCCUAAGCGAAGUAGAUCAUUAAGGGGUCUUGAUACGGCGGAGUAUUUGAUCGAGAACAGCAAAUGCACUUGCGUUGGAGUGCAGAGAAAGGCCAAUGGAGGAUAUCUUCUCAACUCAAAAACCCACAAAAACUUCUGGCUACUGGCUUGAGGAUAUGAUAUAUUACUUACUGUAGUUUGUAAAUGAUUCAGAGCCUCUUCCUCUCCACCUGUUUUCCAGUUGAUGUUGUACAAUCGAUUAUUGCUUUUGAGUAUUUUGGUUGAAAUAGAGGUAGAUGAACAUAUACAAUAAGUGCUAAAGUGCAAAGGCUGAUAGCAAAUGCUACUCAAAACAGAGGCAAGCUCAACAGGGUUGUAUUACAUAGCUCACGUAGCAGUAGGCUAGUGACAUGCAUGCUUAUCCAGGUGCUAAAGAAGUGUACUUGGGAAAAAGUCCAUGUGUGUAGUCGAAUAGUCUACAAAUUUUACAACUUAGAAUAGCUCAAUCUAGCUAAAAGUGUAACUAGGGAAAAGUAAGUUACUUGUGUACUGAACUUCUCUAAGUUCUACCCCCAAAAAAAAAAAACUUCUCUAAGCAUAUUUUCAAGAUGUCCUCCAAAGAGCAGGCGAAUCCAAUGUAGAGCUAAAGAUGACACUGAAGAAAUAAAGGAAUAGAAAGAGAAGGACGCAUGAUAAGCUUUUGUAUUACCUAAAGAUACAGAACAAGAAUCAUACAGCAAACCUGUGGGAAAAGGCUUCUGAGAUCCUGUUCAAGGGGGAAAAUAUUGCCUCCUGAUGUCAAAGCAUAGCAAUUCAAUAUGAGGCCAAGCCUCAACCAUACAAGAAAGAAGACCUAUAGAAGAUGUAAAAAAGUUUGGCCAGAAAUUUGAUUG